Molecule: long non-coding RNA, 70138 nt
Organism: Homo sapiens (human)
Lineage: Eukaryota; Metazoa; Chordata; Mammalia; Primates; Hominidae
Exons: 2
Source: RefSeq, a predicted model, not a curated record
AUGUGCACAUGUACCCUAAAACUUAGAGUAUAAUAAAAAAAAAAAAAAUAAAGCAACAAGAAAUAUAGAGUUGAACACUUUACUUCUAUAAGCAUAUAACUUUUAAAAUUAUAUAUGUAAAACAUGAAGGACUGGAAAACCUAUUGUGGAAAUUACUAGUCCAUGCAAGAAUAUAAAAUUUCAACAGCUUGGGAAUUUACUAGUACUGUGUACAUUCCUGUCAACAUGCCUCAGUUAUGUCAUAGUUUUUAAUUCUACAAGAGUUUUAGAUAGAGAAUUAGUAUUUAUUGAGAACUCUUUUAGCAUAAUAAAUAUUUUAUAAUUCAAUAUAUAAUAAAUACUUCACAUUCAGAAUAUGUAUCUUGGGAAUGAUUGAAUGGCUGGUGAGCAAGGCAACGUCAUGCCAUACAUUUAAAAAUUCCUGUUGUUUCUUCUCAAAACAACUACUCUUUAGUUGGCAUAAAAAUAAUAAGAAUUUUGUUUUAGUAACAAUAUUUUUCACCUUCAGACAUGUGGUUCACAAGAAAAGUGCACAAAAAGAGAUUUGUGAUAUGACAGAAAAAAAUAUUUUAAGAUCUCCUUUUUCUUCCCUGGUAAAAUACAACUUAGUAAAUGUAACAAAUUAAGAAAUACCAGUGAGUUAGAGAACAAUUGGACAAUAAUUGUUUCUAAAUAGAGUCAUUAUGAAAGAAAAUAGUAUGUCGGAGUCCAAAAUCUUAAUUAGUUGAGGAAUAUUUAUAAAUUUAUAGACAAAUUCUCUGUUGUUUGUGUUUUUAGCCUCCCAGAAUUUCUCUUUUUUAAUCAUUAUCAUGAUCUAGUUGUGCCAUAGGCUUUGGUUGAAUUGGAGGAGUAUUUAGAGUGGUCAUCUGAGAUGUCCAGCAUUCAGUGAUGCACGAGGCCUUCAGAAUGAAGAAGGAUUGUAAUAAAGCUCCCAGCAAGCUCGUUUGUGUGCUAUGAAUAGCUCACUAGGUGAAAUACAGCCGAUGCAAAAAGUACGUGGGUGGUUCAGGUGAAUGAAUUGUAUUUUGUAGCUCAUUGGAUUUUUUUCCCCACUCCAAAAACUGCUUUCCCACUGUUCCUUUAACUGCGCCCCUGGAUCGUGAAGUGUUGUGAUGUAGUUCUCUUUUGUGCUCUGGAGUUGGAGCUAUGAAAGGCAGAUUCAUUUAUUGUUUAGUUGAAUCAAAAUGACUGCAAUUCCACAAACAAAUUGGACUUCAGUUAGGAGUGCUUUGUCAUAAAUAACGUUGGAAGAGAUUGGAUUUUCUCCUAGCUGAUAUACUUCUGCUUUACAUUAAAAUCGGCGUCUAAAAGGGACUGAUUUAUGACUGAACUGACUGAUCACUGAGCAACACACACCUGUCCUUGUUCUGCUUUGUUUUUGCUAUCUCUAUUUUCCUAAAGCAUAUUCAGGAAAAGUUUAUGGUAAGGGAAACUAAUAUUCUAUUUUCUGAAUUAUUGUUUUCAUUUUAACCUUCAUUAAAAAAAUCACUUCUAUGAUGCAAAACUCAGUGAAUAAUUCUUCAUAAUCUAGAAAGAAAACCUAUUUCACAUAUUGGUUAAAGGCAUUUUCCAUGGUUGGGUCAGGUGAAUCAUAUUUUUCACGUAUAAUGUUAGGACAUUUUAAACUUUAACAACAUGUUUUGCUACAGGCUGCAAAUACCGUAGCAAUACCUGCAAAUAUCUCUUUUCAUUGACUGUAAAAACUUUUUUUUCCCACUGUAAUGUAUUUACUUCAUUUUGUUUCAAGUUACUCAGUUCUAUAAAUCAUCCAGAGACAGAGAAAAUCUGGUAAUUUCUUCCUUGGUGGAAAAGUGUAUAUAUAAAAUAUAUAUACACACUUUAUACUUAUAUAAUAUAUAUAUACAAUUUAUACUUAUGUAUAAAAGUUACAGCACAAUAUACAUUUGGCUAGACCCUUGGUACUUAACUACAAAUGCCAUAACAAGUUGCAUUUUGUUUUCUUGAGUCAAACAAUUCUGUGUGGCAGUUACAUUGUAUCAGUAAGAAUCAUUUCAUGUGUAGGGUUGUCCUUGCCAAGUAGGUUAGGUUGGCAUUAAUUUUGUUAAGCAUUUUAUUUGGUCUUGUUUUUGUAAGCUCUAGAGCCAGAAUUUGCAUCUGUCUCUGUCUAGUUCCAGAGCAUAUGUAUUUUCAUCUUUGCGUAUUUCUUGUUGUUGUACAAGAAUAAAAUUUUUACAAAGCAAAUCAUACUUUAUGUUCAAUACAUAGAAGACAGUGGUGAAUGUGUUUUUAAAGUGACCUUUUUUGGGUAAAGAUCUAUUUUAACUUCAAAUUAUUUUAUAUUAUAUAUUCCUCAAACGAGUCACAUCCAUAGUGACUUGGAGUGUAUUUUCAGAUGCUUUAAAUAUAUGUAAUCUUAUUGAUAAUAUUCAGAAGCAUUUUAAAUUAAUAGUUUUUUGAAAGUAAGAUUUAAACGUAAAUUAAGCACAAUUGAAACAUAAUACAAUAUUUACCAUUCGAACAGUAACUAAGUUACUGUUAUCUUAAAGGUUUUCCGAGAAGGAUACGGCCAUGACAGUGUAGCAUUUACAUGUGUUCUGAGUGUUCAUUUAUUAUAACUGUACCACCUGUAGUUUUAGAUGCUCUGUGGUUUGCAUUUUAAAAGCAUUUGGUGUUUAUAGCACCUGUCUUUCUAAGACAUGGCCUGACUAGGUCUGAUGUCUAGUGUGAUGUUAAAAAAAUCACAUUAAGUGUGACUUAAGUAUGGGGGUUAGAGUGGGAAUGAAAAUGAAAAUGUUUAAUUUUUCUGACACCAGACUAGUAUGCUUCAGGGAGAAAUUUAGCAAAGGUAAUUGGGCAGACUACCAAUAUAAAUUAGGUCAAUAGCCUAGACCUACAAGUGCUAGCCUUUAUAACAUACUUGACCGCAACAAAAAUCUGUUAAAAGAAAAUGGGACUGUCCCUAACAUGAAGUAAUGGGACUGUCGUAGAUACAACACAUGGUACACUUUUUCCUUUUAAUUACCAUAUGAGAACAAAAUCAGUUUUUGCAGCUGGUUCUUCUUCGUUUUAUUUGCCUUGACUACAUCUCACACCGAAGGGGUUUGAAACAUGACAGACAACAGGUGUGAAUAUGUAUCUAAUAAUUGACUGCAGUUUCUGUUCUUCCUUUAAAAAUUGACUGUGUUGUAAACAUCUCUAACACUAAUAAAGACAGCCUAUUUUUUCUUAUGUGUAAAAUGCCUUCUAAGCCAUGGUUAGAUUGUAUGUCUGAAUCAAACUUAAAUAAGUCAAGUUAUUAAAUUACUCUUUUUAGAAGAACAGUUUUUAAAGGAAUGAUGAGUUUCUGUCAGUUUAAGUGCAGCUGGCAAGCAGCCAUUCAUUAUAGCCUAGUGUGACAUUGAUUUUUGACUAGAAGAAAUGGAAACAUAGCAGUAGCUAUACAUCCUUAAGGAAACAUUCUAUAUUAUUGAUACCCUUUGUUUCCUUAAGAGCUGCUACUAAAACUCUAUUCAAAUUGAAUUUUGAUUGUACAAAUGAGGAAAUCUAUUGUCAAUGUCAAAACAUCCAUUAUUGUGACAAUAAGGUGGUAAUGCCAAAUUAUUACUUUAGCAUCUAUUUCUACCUUAUUCCUUAGGGACAAAAGGUGUUUCCUUAAGGACAAAAAGUGUUUCAUUAUAGAACACCUUUAAAACACUUUUAAAACAAGACCUUUUAAAAAGAACAACAGGAAUUACAAAAUACCACUUAAUUACCUUUAGCAAGAACACUUAGGCUUGCUCAUUGGGCAGAUUAAAUAGUCUAUUGAAACAAAAUCAGUUGAUUUGGCUCAUUUUUCCCCCUACAUUUUUUCCAGUGAUUGCUGCUCUCAUCUUUUUGCCAAAUUGAUCAGAGUUGGCAGUAAAACACAGGCAGUUGAAAAUGUGGGAGAAGAUUAAGUUUUCUGGAUUGCAUAAAGGAUCAUCAGAGAUAAAGAGAUUACAAAGAAUUGGUCUUAUCAGGUUGAUAUUCUGCAUCAUGUGGUUGUCUGUUUUCUAUCAUAAUCAACUAGACCUAAAUUAAGAACCCUUGCCUUUAGAGAGUGUUAUUUUUGUUUUCCAAAUUUUGGUAAAUAUGAUAGAUUGAACCAAGGAGGUGUUUAUAAUUCGUGCACAUUUUAUCUUUGUCUUGUCAUUAAGUAUGAGAGCAUUAAAUUCAAAUUUUAUCGAAAGUUUGUGAAAAUUAACAAUGGUUUGUUGUUAAUUCGUUUGAAUAGACUUUGUUGAAAUUAGGGCCUAGGAGAUGGAAUGCUGGCUUUUGAGGCUUGAUCAUAAAGAAUAUUAUAUGUGACAUAUGUGUAAGGAAAAUAAGAGAAAGAGGUGAUUUCAGGGAAAGUAAAGUAGUAGUUACUCAUAGCGAUAGUUUGGAUAACAAAUUAACUAAUGUUGAACAGGAUGUGGAUUUGAACUCAUUAUUCAAAUUGACAGAGACCUGGAAUUAGUUCAGAUUUACAUAUGAGAAAGAUGGUCUGUUACAACAAAAACAAUGUCCUAUUCAGAGUGGGGCAGAGAUAUUGGAAAGGUUCCUGUUUCUUUGGGAAUGGUUUUCACUAUUGGUGAAAUAGUGAAAGUGAAAGCUACUAUUAUUGCAAUUAUGGCAAGAACAUUACAUACUUUAUCAUUUAAUUUUCAGUAUCAUUCUGAAAGGCAGUUGUUGUUAUGCCUGUCUUACAGUUGUGAAAAUUAGGGUUCAGAGGAUAUAAUGAACUUAUUCAAGGUCAAACAACUACUAAGUGGCAAAAUUGAACUCAAGCUACUCAAGCUAGGUCUGUCUGACUGCAAAACUUUUACUUUUCCACACCCUAUUCCAAAUUAUCAAAAAAUAUUAGAACUAUUUUUCUAUGUAACAAGUGUGUGUUAGAUCAGCUUUCACUUCAGCUUAUGUCAUAACAGCUAUCCUCAUGCAUGGAUAUUUUACCUUUUGAGGGGUCUUUUAUCACUCUAAAACCUUUCUUUUUCAUUAUUUGUGAUUGGGUCUUAAAAGAGAGACAGAAUUAUAUUAAAUUGACCCUGGAAUCUGCUCCUUCCCUUAAUAAAAAAUCCAUCUCUAUAACCUUGUAUUUGAUGCUUUUGUAACUCUCCAAUCUUCCUGGCUUUUAUAAUAUUAACAGUUAGUGAGUGAGUGAUACAUCGUAUUGUCAGUGAAACUUAACAAUAUAUGUAGUAAUUAUUACUAUUGUCUUCACUUUACAGAUAGGGUCAAGUAACUUGCCCAAAGUCAAACAUAAAUAAACUGGUGGAGCCGAGAUUUAAAACCUUACAGGUUCCAUAGGGUGAAUCCUUGGCUUUUCACCUUCUCUACCCUGUAAUACAUCAUCUAUUUCCAGACUUCCAGCCUGUCUUCUUCCUUAUGGUACAGGAUUGUUUUCUGAUUACUCCAACUUUAUGUGUCCUUACUUGGUCUUAUGUUUCCAUAAGCAAUACUAAUGGCAGCCUCAGAAAUUACAGCUUGACAUACCAGAAGACUGACCUUAAUGUUUGAGAAUAGGAUAUAAGACAAUGCAGCUUUGGAGUCCAUCUUCUUCACAUAAGGGCUUUACUUCUAGGCAGCAUAACAUUAAACUUAAUAAAAUAAUAGCCAGCUUAGUGCCAAAUACUAUGUUAGGUGCUCUUUGUGCAUUCUUUUAUUAUUACAGCUACUUUAUUGGAUAGAUACCAUUAUCACCAUUUUACAGAUCAGGAAAGUAAAGCUUAGGGAGCAUAAGUAAUUUAUAGAGGUGUUAUUUAUCUUGAAGGCUAUUUUACUUUAGAGCUCAUGAGCUAAGGUGACUGACCUUGCAUUAUUCUCUGAAUAAAGCCUCUAGAUCUUAAACAGCAGAUUGGACUAAUUGAACCCUCCGAAUGAUGGUAGAAAUUGUCCUAAAGUUUUUUUUUUUAAAGAAACAGAUUAUAUACAUUUAUAAGGUGUAAUUUCUAUGAUUAUAGGUAAAUAUUAUAGUCAUAGUAAUGCUUUAUUUUAAAUUAUUUUUGCUUAAUUUCUUCUAUUUUGUAGUUUUUAAAUCUUGCCUAAAUAUAUGGUUAUUAAAAUUAAUAUUAACCAUUAAUAUUAACAAGGUAAUAUAUAGUUUAUCUUAGUUAUACUAUGUUAAAUAUUGCCAAAAAAUAACUUUUUGAAAGAAACAAAUUAUAAAAUCAUUCUUAUUUAACUUAUUUCAGAUGAAGGUAAAAUACAUGUGAAUAUGGCAUGCUAGUUUGUAAUCUUCCAGUAAAUCAAAACAGGACACAAUACACAAUUUUAUGAAUUAUUCUUAUAGGACAUCAAAUUGAAUUAAUUACUCAGUAUCUAAGGCACAGGAUAGCAUUGUUUUCUUCUUCCUUUUACUGAAUUAUCUUUUCUAAUUUUAAUUAGCUUCAAAGCAAGGAAUUAUGAAUUUAGUAUUUAUUUUGAGCCUUCUAUGUGUGAGACAUUAUAUCUGGGUGUGGAAAUAUUUAUUCCAUCAACUAGGAUAUUUAAGUUUCUUCUUUUGGGUAUUAUUUGUUCUUUUUUGUCCAUUUGAAAAUUAUUAUAUAUUCCGUGUUAUGGAAACGUCACUGUUGUAAGUUCUUACUUUCUAUUCCCAGAGAAUGGCCAUUUAAUUGUAUUAGAAUGUUUCAGCCUAGAUGGGGUUACAGGAACAUGAUUUGCCUUCCUACCAGAAACAAACAAAAAAGACCAGAUACACCGUAUGAAAGGGAGUCUUCAGACAUUAAAUAUCAGACAGUUCAGGACAGUGAUCCUUUAAGAAUGGCAACAAAUGAGGUAAGCCCUUUGAUUGUACCAGCUGAUUGCCUUGAGAGGUUUUUCCAGGGCCCAGCACAGGGAGGAGAACCCAGGUGAAUGUUGGUAGUCUAGGGUUGACGAGACAGAGUUGGGAGUCUGGGGAAGUCCAGGUGGCUAGAGUUUGCAGGACAGAGUACUGACUGGAGAGAAGAUGCACAGAGAGAAAACUAUAUAGAUAUGCAGAAGGUCCUCGUACAGCCCUCAGCUGAGGACCCAUCAGUAUGUGGGGAACCUACAAAAAGCUGGAGAAAUAAUCACCUCAAAAGAACACAGGGAAUAGUUUUCAGAAUUUAUACAGGGCUGGGAAUUAUUCAUGUUCCCAUAUCAGCCAGAGUGGAAAACCUCAUAAUUCACGAAGCAUCAGAUAGAAUAACCAGAAGAAUAUUGCCUAGUAGUGGAGCAUAUUCACCCCUAGAUUAAAGGCUGUGCCAGUUUUGCCUAACAAAGUUUAAAAGCCAACUUCUAUAGGAUUUGCUGUUCCCAAGUAACUUAACUGUUUUCUCAAACAAAGCUCAAGGAUGUUCCUCAGGACACAAGAAUAUGUAGCACCCCAAAAGGUGAAAAUCAUGUUUGGAAGCUAGUAAAAAUAUUACUUUUAAUGCAAAGACACAGGAAACCAUGACACAAAAUGAGGAGAACAUCAAUCAGUUAAAAAAAAACACAAAUGAGAGAAAUAGUAGACAAAGCAUUAAAAUAGUUAUUGUCACAUUUAAUUUGUUCAAAAAAGGAGAGGAAAGAUUGAAGACAUUAAGCACAGAAAUGGAAGAUGUGAAAAAGACUUAAAUCUAUAUUCUAGAGAUGAAUGUUACAGGACCUAAGAUGAAAAAAAUUUGCUGGAUGGAUCUGUGACAGUUUAGUCUACAAAGAAAGAAAUUAAUGAGGUGACAUCAUAACAAUAGAAACUACCCAAAAUGAACCACAGAGAGAAUAAUGGCUAAUUUAAAAAAGAGACAAUCAGUGAACUGUAGGACAAUUUCAAGUGCCUCAGUAUUCAUGUUAUUCAAGUUGCUGAAGAGGAGGAAAGUGGGAGAGUUUUAGACUGAAAUAUUUGAAAAAAUGGUGGGAAAGAAAAUUGAUAAAAACUAUAAACUCAGAAGAAACUAAAAAAACCCCAAGCACAAGAAGAUGAUACAGAGGCAUAUUAUAAUCAAACUAAUACCAGUGAUAAUGAGAAAAUCUUAAAAGAAGGCCAAAAAAAAGAGACGUAUCAGGUACAGAGUAACAAAGAUGGUUAAGAGUCUUUGCUUUGGAAACAGUGCAACACAGAGGCAGUAGAAUAACAUUUUUAAACUAUAGAAAGAGAGAAAUUAUCAAUGUGGAAUUUUUUUUUUUUUUUAGACGGAGUUUCGCUCUUGUUACCCAGGCUGGAAUGCAAUGGCAUGAUCUCAGCUCACCGCGACCUCCACUUCCCAAGUUCAAGCGAUUCUCCUGUCUCAGCCUCCCGAGUAGCGGGGAUUACAGGUGCCCACCACCACGCUCGGCUAAUUUAGUAUUUUUAGUAGAGACUGGGUUUCUCCAUGUUGGUCAGGCUGGCCUUGAACUCCUGACCUCAGGUGAUCUGCCUGCCUCAGCCUCCCAAAGUGCUGGUAUUACAGGCGUGAGCCACUGUCCAAGGCCAUCAAUGUGGAAUUUUAUACCUAGUGAAAAUAUCUUUCAAAAAUAAAGAUGAAAUAAAAACUUGUUUAGAUGAAGUAAAGAUGAAAAAAUUAGUCACUGGCAGACCUGUACUGAAAGAUAUGCUAAAAAAAGUUCUUCAGACAGAAGAAAAAUGUUAUCAGUUAGAAACCUGGACUAUAUAAAGGAAUAAAGAACACUGAAAAUGGUAAUUUUCUCCCCUUACAGACUCUUUUAAAGUUAUUUGACUGUUUAAGUAAAAAAUAAUAAAAAUAUAUUGUGGACUUCGUGACAUAUAUAGAAGUAAAAUUAUAAUAGUAGUAGUGCAAAGGCUGGGAGAGGGGGAAAUGUAAGAAUACUGAUGUAAAUUUCUUAUACUAUAUAUGAUGUGGUAUAAUAUUACCUGAAGACAGUUCAUGAUAAAUUAAAGGUAUAAACUGUGAACCAACCACUAAAACAACAGUUAAAAGAAUUAUAGCUAAUAAGUCAAGAAAGCAGAUAAAGUGGAAUAAUAUAAAAUAUGCAGUUAAUCCAAGGGAGGCAGAAAAAGAGAGAAAAGAGGCUGAGGGCAGAUAAAAGCAGUAGAAAACAAGUAGCAAAAGGGUAGAUUCAAAUCCAAUCAUGAUUGUAUAUAUCCAGGGAAAAAAGAGAUUAUCUCAUAAUGAUAGAAGGGUUAGUUCAUUAAGAAGGCAUAAAACCCAGCAUUUAUGUACCUAAUAACAGCAUCAAAAUACUUGAAGCAAAAUCUGAAAGAACUUCAAGGAGCAAGACACAAAUCCAGUUUUUGUUGGAGAUUUAAAUAUUCCUUCUUAGUAAUUGAUGGACAGAGUAGACAGAAAUAGAUACAGACAUAGAAGACCUGAACAACCCUAUGAAUCUGGUGUAACUGGCAUCUGUAUCAUACAAAGAAUAUUAUCUGAGUUUAAUGAAAUUAAAUUAGGUAUCUAUAACAGAAAGACUUGUAGAAAAUCUCCACAUAUUUGUCAAUUAAAUGACUCUCCUCUAAAUAACCCAUAGGUUAAGAAAGAAAUAAAAGAAGAAUUAAGGAAAUACUGAACUGAACUGAAUGAAAAUGAAAACACAUCAAGAUUUGUGGGAUGUAGCUAAAACAAUACUUAAAGGGAAAUUUAUAGCACCAUUUGUAUUAUAAUGACCAUCCAACUACAUUACUUAAAGUUACUUGUUAAUGGGUUGUCUUUUUGUAUAUUCCAAACAAUUUCUGCUUGUGGGGAGAAAUUUUAGCUACAGAAUAAACAUGAUAUUUACUUUGCGAGAUGGUGCUACAAAACAAUUGAUGUGUAAAAAUUAUAUUCUAUAAUUUUAAUUUUUAAAUUUUUACAUUUGGACUUUCAUUAGACAUUGUUUGGUAAAGGUAUAUAAUCAUUAGACUAUUGUUGGUAAGUUUUUAAGUUAUUUCAUGUAAGUUGAAUGUUGAUUUCAUAAGAAUUAUCUUCUGUUGCUGAGUUCACAUUGUAAGUGCUGGCACUAAAUACCAAUAAGCCAAUAAAAGGCCAAUCUGAUACUAUUCAAACAAAUAUAUACUUACAAAUCUGUACUUCUCAAAUUUAAAAUUCGUAUUUUGGCAAUUAAUAACAUUUACUCCCUGAAUAAAAUAAUUAUUGGUGACUUUUUUUCUUAGUCAAGUUUUUGAAUAACCUUUCUGUGUUACGAUUAUCUUUUUCAUUCAUUUAAUACCAGAAAUCAUCUCAGUGAAAUUAUUAUAUAGUCAGUUUGUCAAUUACCACUGAUUUUAUAUGACUAUUUCCUCAAAUUCUGAUUUCCUUUUAAAUGUUAGAGAGUAUUUUGAACCUUACAUUAUUACAAAAAGCAAUUUGAGGUCUUUAUUUCAGGGAGUGAAAUGUGACAUUUUAAAAAUGAGAUCACAUUUAUUUAUAUACAAAAAGUAUUUAACCAUCAAUUAUAUAAGGCCAUUUUUACUAAUAAACUAUUAUUUUAGAGAUUGUAUUUAUUAAUCAUGCUGUAAAGGGAUUACUCAUUUUAAAAAGUGGCUAACUUAUGUGCAUGCAUUGAAUGUAAUCUACGUUCAUUGGAUAAAGUGUACAUUCAUCUAGCAGACAUUUAUUGAGCAUCUAAGAUGAGUUAGGUUCAGUGUUUUCACUGGGAAUAUGGAGGAAUUCUGACCUGAAGCAGUUUAUAGUCUAGUAGGGGUAGGUGGUAGCCUGGCAAAGCAGAAAUUGCAAUACAGUGAGAUCGAAGCAAGAUGCAUUGGGAGUACAUCGUACCAGUAUUAAUGCUGCCUGAGGAGGAAGGUAACUCCUUUCCAGAGGAGCUGACUCUGAGAAGGGGAUUGCAGACACAGAGAAUGGGUAAAUGUUCAGAAUUGUUGGCUUACAGUGUGUAUGAAUUAGAAUGGUAGGUGGGGAGGUAAAGGUAGCAGAGAUAAGCUAUAGGGUUAAUAUUUAUCUUGUAAACAAGGAGAAACUGUAGAGUGAAUGAUCUAAUCACAUUUUCAUUUUAAUACUGUCAUUCUGAAAACAUCCUAUGCGAUGGAAUGGAGAAGGAAGUGAUGACUCAGAGUGUGAAGAGUGAAGAGUUCUUAGUAUUUGUUAUUGGUUAAUUCUCUUUUGAUUUCAGGGGUCAAAAAUCUAAUGUAACUUGGGCUAACAAAAAAGAAGUUAACAAAAGAAUUUAUUGGUUCAGAAAAUUGAAAAUUUCCAUGUCAGAUCUAGCUAACCUCAGGACUGGCCUUUGCAGUCCAUCUGUGGUAUCUGUGUUGUGUUACAGAGUUGGGUUCAUUGCAGGUUAUGACUCCUGAGUUCACACAUACCUAAAUGUUUUUCUUAAAAAAAAAAAAAAAACCCUCCAAAAUGAAUCAAUAUAGUGAACUAAUUAUUAAUGUCUGUGUGAUUUGUGGGCUAUUUUUAUUGGUGUUUGUGAAUUCUUUAUUCUCCUAAUUGAAUAUUCUUCAUUCUAUACAUGAGUCUAAGCUGCUUCUGGGAGAAUAUUAUAAAUUUUUUGGGAAAAAUUCUAUAUCCUGACUUUUCUUUAAAGUUCAUAAAAACAAUAAUUGUGUUGAAGAAUCAUAUGUAAAUUCAUGUGACUUUUCUACACUUAAAAUUGUGGAGAAAAUACAGAAAUACUAAAUAUUUAUUAAUCUAGUACACAUUUAUUAAACAUUUCUUUUAAAUUAUGAGUGAUACUAAGUCUCUAUGUAUGAAAGUAAUUUUGUUUAAUAGGGCUUUUAUACUUGAGAACUCCUUUCCUGUUUUCCAGUUUGAAUUGUCUUAAGAUUCAGAUUGACUUCCUAGAUAGUGCACUGAAAUUUGGCGGUGAUUUUUAUAGAAAAAAAUUAUUAUACUUGACAGUUGUAUCAUAUGAUAUUCCCUGAGAAAAUCUCAGAAGAGUGUUUCAGUUAUAUUCGAAUUGCCUACACUUAUAGAGUUUUUUAUGAAGAUUAUAAUACAUAUUUAUUCAUAGUUCUCUGACUUUAUGUUACUUCAGUACUCAGUCAUCAUUUAUUCAUUCACUUUCAGUCAAAAAAUAUUUACUAAGCCCCUAACAUAUGUGUUGCUCUUGGUAGAUAAAAUAGUCAUGAAUAUUUUAUCUCAUGGGAUUUACAUUGUGAAAGACAGAGUAAACAAAUAAACACACUAAGUUGACAACUGGUAUGAGAGGGGAAAAAAAACCAGGCAGCAACCUACUUUAGAAUGAGCAAGCAGGGAGGACCUCAUUGGAGAAGUAACAUUAAGCUGAGAUCCGGUGCGUGAUUAGGAAUUAUUUUUUCUUGUUAAGAUUUGGGAGAAAGUCUAGGUAAAUACCUUUAGUGGGGAUAGAGCUUGCCUUUUUGGGAAAAUCAAAGAAGACCUGUGGCUGUUAAGAGUGAAGGCUACAGUUGUGCAAGAUGGGGUUUUGAUAUUAUGAUUUUCAUUUCAUAAAAAGUAUUAAGUUUGUUAAGCACUAAUGCAUUAAUUGUAGUAGCAGCAAAUAGAUGAUGGUGUAAAAUAUCAUAAUAAUUUACCUCCUGCAUUUGAGAAAUGGAGACAGAUCCAUGUUUCACUUUCUUGUCAGUUGUUAAGUACUUGCAAAGGCAGAUAGAUUAAGUAAUCUGAUUGCUGAUAGGACAUCUGAAAAUUUAUUGGUUUCAGUAUUAUAAAAGCUUUCUUUUUGUUUAUAUGUACACACACACACACACACACACACACACACAGCCACUACUUAUUUACCUACAUCAUAGGGCUUCUGUACAUUUUGUUGCCUUUGUCAGAUGUCACUCCCUUCCCAUUAAUUUGCACCCAUUCAUUAGUUAUCAAUUCCAGCAUUUCUUCUUCAAAGAAGUUUUUCAUCAUCCACCUUCCUCAGUAACCCUAAGCCUAAGACAUGUACCUUUGUUACAAAUAUUCCCAUAUCUGUGCUUCCUUUCUUUAGAUCAUAUCUCAGUUUGUAAUUGCACACUCAUUAGUGUUUGAUUACUGUUUCUUGCUCUCAUACACUCUCAGUAAACUGAAAGCUCCAUGAGAGCAGCUUUCAGUUUAAAAUCUGCAUAGCUUGGCACUGAGCCUGCCACCUGUAUGGUAGUCAAUAAAUAUUUGGUGGAAAAAUAUUUGGUGGAAUGAAUAAAUAAAUGUAUACCACCACCUAAGCCUAAAGUUUUCUAUCAGACAAAGCUGACAUUUUCCCAUGUUUAUUUUCUUUCAGGAUAAACUAUGGGAUUUGAUUAUUUAAAGUUUUUUUGAAAUUACACAUAAAACACUUUUAUGAACAUAGUAACUGUCUUAAAAUUAGGAGUAAACUAAGUAUUUCAUCUUGUUGCACUUCUUUCUGCAUUUCUUCCCUUUUGAAUCUCUUUAUUCCUCAAAUUCCUGUGUGAUCUAAAGUAUGGAAGACCUUGCUAGUGUUUGAAUUGGUAUCAGACCUCAGUAAAUACUUGUGAAGUGAAGAAAUGAAUUAUUUACAAGACAAGAAGCUGUUCUUCACAUUAAUUAAAUUGGCUGUAAGAAUGACCCAGCAAUGAAGAAUGCUGAGCACUAACUUCCCCAUUUUCAUGAUUAAAACAAAUGCCCUAGGCACGCAUUUCUUUUUCUAUGCCAUCAUAACAAAUAAAGACCCUGUCACCCCAGCAACUCAUUAUUGUUUGUUUUCUAUUUGGUGAAAUCCGAAGAGAUCUUCUGUGGUUAUAGUUGGGAAUUUAUCAAAGCUUGCAAAUCCCUGUUGUUCCAUAAAGCUGAAAAUAAACCAUAUGCUAGCCCAUACCACACUGUCCAGGGUCUUUUUUGGAAUUACAUUUAAGAGCUGAGAAAAUGUAACACAGAGAUUUUUACCAAAGCUUACAUAAUCUUCCGUUCUUUACACUUGGGCUUUUUUCUGAGCAUUUCUCCAAUGUAACAUUCCCACAUAUUUGGGCAGAGUUUAGAAUCAUUUUCCAACUAAGUGAAAAAAUGAUUCUAAUUGAACUUUAUCAAACAUUUGCCUCUGAAAUGGAAAAGUGUGGUGUGUACUAAUGAUAUGAAUUAUUUUAAUAUAUACGAUAAUUCCUUUUCUCUUUUAGUCAAAUGUCCUGGAAAUUCUUCACUAAAUCUAAUUUUAUCCAUUGUUGAGGUUUCUCCCAAUGGUAAGUUAAGCACUUAAACCACACAAUCACUUAAACCACACAAUCAACCCUAGAAAGAUGGAAGGAGACGGUGGGAAUGUGAGUAGGGUGAGUUGGUGUGGCAACCUUUGGAACCACUUUAGCACAUUCCACAGUACUUUUCCUAUCAGAAACCAGGGAUAAUUUCAACCCUAAGGAAAAGCAAUUACCUUGAUCACCUGAUUGUGAUUUGCAUACCUGAAACUGAUAAAAUCAUUUCACAUACUUUUAUCAUGUAUCAUGAUACAGAUUGUAUCAAUGGAUACAUACGUAUCACUUACUAUCCUAAGUUUCUGUUUCAUGGUCAGGAUACAUUAAAUACUCUCGGUAUUUCCUUUCAAAGGGAAAUUGAGGGUUAUUAAAUCAGUAGUUUUAAAAAAGUAUUAUAAAAAUAUUAAGAAUUAAUUUGUGUUUCUAUUUGAUUAUAUCUGUCAUCAGUGUGGAAAGAAGUUACUUUGUAAUAAAGGCAACCGCGUAGAACUGGAUGUUUUGUAAACUGUUAGUGUGUUGGUAAAUUGUUGGUAUGUAAAAUCCGGGUUGAGUAUGACAUUAAUAGUAAGUGGUUAAAAAAACUAGCAAUUCUGAGGUUUCGGGCUGAUACACACACACACACACACACACACACACACACACACACACGCAUUGCUAGUGUUUAUUGAAUUACCUCUUUGCACCAUGUUUAACUGUUACUUCUUGGUCAUUUUUGAAAGGUAUAAAUUAUUUUACCUUUGUUUUUACAUAUAUCCAUUAAUUUUUUUUUAUAACAUUGUAAAAUACCUUUCACCUAAGAUGGUGGGGACCCUUUGUUAACUCCAAGAAGAUGGAUAGCCAUAGGAUAUGCUAUAUUUAAAUGUAGUUCUUCUGCAAAUAACUAUAGAAUAUUUAUGCAUUUUUGACAAAGUUUCAGAGGCAUAAAUGCUGCCAUUGCCCAAUAGAGGAAAUUUCAUACAAAACUCACCAAACUUUAUGUAUGGUCAGUUUCUCGGAAUGGAUACUUCUGCAGACUAGUUCCCCAGUCUUCUUGCACUUCUAACACACACUUGAGAGAUGGGACCUGUGGGUCUGUACUGGUCUUGGCCAUCUGGUCUCAAGGACCAUCAGGAAGCUGUCUUGGUUCUUGUGCUUAGAACUCAGUGUUUCCUGGCUUUUGGGAGGUAUUUCCAGAUUUGACACCUUUGAUUUUUUUUAAUAAAAGUUUUUCUUUUUGAGUCUCAUUUUUUUUUAAUGAGAACCUAUUCAUCUCCUAAUACAAAUUGAUAGAAAUAGACUUGACUUUAUCAAGUUAAGUACUUGAGCCAGACACAUGUUGUAUUCCAGCCUGUGUUCCAAGUGCUCCUGUCCCCACCUUGACAGCCUUUCAGGUUUGUGGCUUUUAUUUAUAUGCUAUUGUCUUGUGGUUAGUACCUUUUCUUGAAUAUAGAGGAGUAGAAUUAUUUUGUGUUUCAGAAAUGUUUGUUUUAAACAUGAACAUAAACGUAUUUCAACAGCAGAUAAUCUCUUAAUGAGGGAAUUCUUGGUUGGCCCAUCUGAAGUCAAUCCUGACAUUAUUUCUGAUAGAUUUCUGUGGCCUAUGGCUAGGUUUCAAUGGAAUCGGUUCUGAAAUCACUACAUGCUGUCGAAAUCAAAACUUGUCAUAUUAGGUUCUGUAACAAAUACAACUAAUGAGACAACAGAUUAAUAGUAGAAGUGGUUUUUGAAAUAUCAUUCCAAGGUAUUGAUUUACUCAAAAUGUUAUAAAUACCACUCUGGAUUAACUUUAAAAUGGGUUACUAUGUGAUAUAUAUAUUUUUUGUAGAUGCCAGAAUUCUGUUUCUAGGAAUUCUUUAUUGAUAAAAUGUUAAAUGUUGAAAGAUAGUACAUUUGACCAACAUACUUUUGACAAACAUUCUGAGCAUUAGAUGUUUAUUGUGUGGUUGCCAUAUUAGGAGUGGUUUAUUUCUGGCUUAUGCAGAGUAUGGGAGUAGCUUUAUUAAGUGUUUCUCCUCAGUUUUUGUCUUUAUAGGCUCUGAAUUUUGUAGACACAUUUAUUUCUUGGGAUUCCUUUUCAACAUUGUCCUUUGGGACUGGCAAAGGCAGUUUUAGAUAGAUCUGGUUUCAUAUGGAACUGCUUCCUGUGACUAGUGUUUUCUCUUGGGUGCUGUAAAAAUAACUAAUCCUUAUAGUCGAAGCUUAAAAGAAAACAGGGAGAUAUCCUAUAAUAUAUUCUACUUCCAUCUUUCCUUAUUGAUUUCUGGGAACAUGUAUUGAUUGGAAGAAGAAGUUUGGGAAUCUCUUAAAGUAAUACUUCGGGUAGCAAAUGAAAUAUAGAAAAUGGAGAAGGAGAUAAAAAAGUAGUGGUAAUGGAAGAAUGCAGAAUAGUGUGAGAAAUGUGUGUGGGUGUAAAUGGAGCACUGUAUGGCUGUUUGCAAGGUGAAACCAGGUGGUGGUGUGUGGCAAGUGCAGCAUUCUGUGCUACCAAUGCCAGAGAAUGAUAUCUGGAACCAUUGAAAGCCCCUUACGCAGCUUCAACCCACCCCUUCUUAUUCACCUGAGCAAUUUAUUUGUUUUCAUUCUUUCUCUUAUCCAUUGCCUUCUUUCUUUAUCUUGUUUCCUCCUAUUUCAUCAGGGAUAUGAAUCCACCAAUCACUUCCCCUUUUUACUGGCAUUUCCAGUCUUGUCUUCUCCACUGAUUAUUAUCUUGAACAAUAAAUUUGCUCAUGUAUUUUCUAUGUAGCUCUCUCCAUUCUGUCCCUUCGUAUUAUUGCUAUAUUACUUCCAUUUCCUUCUAGUCAGUUUACCAAAAAGCAUGUUACAAUUAUUGUAGACUCAAAGAUACUGUACCUGAUAAUGCCCUUUUUGGGGAAAUGAAUCAAAGAUCAUAAUCAACACUUUGUUUUUGUUGUUAUUGUUGCCAGAGUUAAAAUUUAUUUCUUAUUUCACUUCACAAUUAGCUAUAAUUAUGUUGCUAUAAAGAGAAAUUUUACAUUGUCUCCCCCAUUACUGUGGUAGUUGAAUUGAUCAUCAUUUAGCAGAAAAUCAAAGAGCGCAAUGAUCAAGCAGUAGAAUGACCUGUUGCUAGCUCUCAGAGGUUUAAUUCCCCAGAAGCAGACAUUGAGAUGAGGAUUUGUUUGCAAGUAAUUUAUUAAGAAAGUGAGAAACAGCCAGGCAUGGUGGCUCACAUCUGUAAUCCUGGUACUUUGGGAGGCUGAGGCAGGAGGAUCGCUUGAGCCAGAAGUUCAAGACCAGCGUGGGCAACAUAGUGAGACCUUGUCUGUAAAAUAAAAAAAUAAAAUAGUAAAAUAAAAUGUAGCUGGGCAUGGUGGCACAUGGCUGUAGUCCAAGCUACCGAGGAGGCUGAGAAAGGAGGAUUGGUUGAAUCUGGGAGGUCGAGACUGCAGUGAGCCGUGAUUGUGCCAUACUUCAGCCUCGGUAACAGAGCAAGACCCUGUCUCAGAAAACAAAACAAAACAAAAAAAGGAGUAAUCAAUUAGGGAGUGACAGAAUGGGAAAAAAAGGGAAUGGGGAAGAAGAGGUAUGAUUUUAGGCAAAGUCUUUUCAAGGAUAGCUUUAGUCUAAACCUUCAUGAGAGCUCUGGAGUAUGAAUUAUUUGUCUGUUCAAACCCAAAUUAAAUGAGGUAGAUGUUCAUACUUCCAUCCCUACCAGCCACUGCCUAAGGAUGAUAAAGGGGUACAGGAGGGGAGAUGCUUAUCCCCAGUUAGGGGGAUAUAUAAAGUGACUAUAGUAGCCUGAGGGCAUAAGAACACUUAACAAGUCUUAUCUUUUGGAAGCAAAAUCACACUGAAACAACAUGCAAGUCAGAAUAUGUAUUGUAAUGUGCACAAGUCUUCUUAAGGAACCAUGUGAUGGAAUUGGAUAAUUUACUUUGCACUCCAUCACUCCACUUAACCACCCAUUCUUUUUUUUUUUUUUUUUUGGCUCUAUCUCACCAUUUUGACUGGAAAAGGGAUGAGUAUUUUAUAGCACUUUUGAUGGAUAAUUGUGACAUUCUUCUUUGAUAUUAUAUUGAUAUUAUACCAAAACUCAAUAAGUAGUACUUUCCUAUAGACUAUUUACAGUGUGGAAUCUGAUGCCAUAUCAAUGAACUUUUUGUAUUUUCUCACUCCAAAAUCCAUUGGUUUAUCUUGCACCUUGAAUAAAUCUUUUACCCAUGCAUGUAUUGGUCAUUUGGAAAAUAUAGAUUCAUUGGGUUAUAUAUCUUCCAAAUGUUUAUGCAUUUUAUUAUACAGCAUAAACAAAUCCCAUUUAUUAAUAUUACUACUGCUGCAUCAGAAAAGUCAUGAUAUUAGUAAGCUCUUACAGUGGCAAUAUAAGGCUUUCUUAUAACUGUCACAGUGACAGAUGUAAGUUUUUCAAACUUCUACUUUUUGCUUGAAAGCUUUAAUGUUAUCAUUGGUAAUGAAUACUGUCAGUUGUUUUCCUUGAAGUGACAGAUUAACUUUGUCCAUUUUUGUGAAAAUGUCUGCCAAAAAUCCAAGUCUAAAUAAUAAUAGCUUAUCUGUCAGUUGUCCCUUUAAGUAAAAAGUGUUUGGUGGAAAAAAGUGGCUAGUUCAGCUUGCAACGGAAACAACCAGGAGUGCUGUUCCUUAAACAACCAUUGUACUCUAGUUGCAGUGAGUGCUUUAUGUGUAUUUGCCAUUUCACCACACAGAAUAAUAAAACACAUUUAAUUUGAGAUAUAAUGGAACUAAGAUUUUUACUCCUUCAUCGAAGACAUUCUUAAAUAAAACAGACUUUGCUUGCUUUAAUGACAGUGCAUGGCAGUGAAGAGUACAAUGACUCAGUAAAGUUUGGUGCCAAGGCUUUGAUUUAUGCUAAGCUGCUAGCAGUUCUCCCACCAGUGCUUUCAUAUCAUCUGUGAAAAUAUUAACAUAUCAAAAAGGGUAAAUAACAUUUUAAUAUCAUUAUGAAAAUAAUUUUGCCCUCAUGAACUCCUGAAAGGUUCUCAUGGAUCUCAGGAGUCCAUUGAGUUCACUUUAAGAGCCACUGCUUUAAAGAAAACAGCAACACACAGUAUUCUGCAUCUUGUCACCCUCUGUCACCAAGUAUCUACCUUAGUCUUUGCACACAAAUUGCAAUCAUCAUUUAGUUUACUACUUGAGUAAUUUUGGAAGAUGGUAUUUAAAACACCUUUCUUCAACUUCCUUAGAUACUUCUACUUUUAACAGGGUUCCUCUCUAAAAUGUCAUUAGCAGGUGUUUAUAUUUUCAUGGAAAUUUUCCUGUGACAGAUAGACUCACACAUGUACAAACCAUCAUUUGCUGAGGCCAUUAAGUUAAUUUUCCUUAAUCUAUUUGUUUCAAAGAAUUUUAGUAUAUUCAUUUUACCAGUAUACUCUUUAGUUCUGAAAGGGUCAGAAUAAUGACAUUCUCACUUGUGGUUCUGAAAUGCAUUUCAGUUCACAAAGCACUUCCUCAUGCAUCAUCUCUUUUGGCCAUCACACCAGUCCUGUGAGAUUUGCAGGGCAGUGUCAUUAUCUCCACGAGUAAACCCAGGUUGAGAGAGGGGGAAGUGGGUUGCCUAAGGUCUAAGGCCACACAGUGAGUGGCAGAACAGAAUUGAGAUGCUCUGUUUUCUAUAUUCAGUUUCCUCUUGUGUAUAGUGUUCUUUCUUUUCUUGUAACAAUUUAAAAGGCAUUCCAUAUUUUUUCCCUAGUCUAUGUAGCUGGUUUCUCUUAUCAUUUCAUAUCAUAAGAUGCCUGCACAGGCUGUUGACUUAGAUAAAAAUAUUGUGUAACUGAAGAAAUGGAAGCUACACAUAGGAGCUAUGGUCUCAGCGAAGGCCUGAUACUGCUCACAAUUCUGUUGUAACCAUGAAGGUUACUUUCUUUUAAACUUAAUAAAUAUCAGCCAACCCAGGUAUGAAAUUUUCAGCUGCAAGAAGAACUGCAGGAAACAGUUAAAUAUACCCUAUAGCCAAUAUAAGGCAAAACAAUACAGAGAAUGGAGAUUUGCUGGGUAAUUAAGCAUGUUACAAAGUAGACUGACUAAUCUAUAAUCAUAUGCUAGGAUUAGUAAUACAAAAGGCUGACAUACGUGGUGUGAAUUAAUGAAAAAGGGUUUUGAAGAGUUUACAAUAGCAAAGAUGGUUGCAUAUUAUAACAAUUAAUUAAACAUUAUUUUAUUUCUUUGUGGUAUUCCUUUCUGGCCAAGAGGAUUGAACACUUCCUAGAGUUCAUUGUGCUUAAUUAGACUUUAAAAAAUAAUUUUUCUUAAUUUGUUAGAAAAUAUUUUUAAAACACUGCAAAUGAUAGAGAAUAAUAACAUAUAUCCAUGUUUGCAGCAUCCAGUUUUAUCGUAUUUUAACAUUUUUCUAGCUCUGCCUUUCUUAAAGAAAAAAUAUUACAAAAAUAAUUAAAACUUACUGUAUACCUUGUCGUGAGGCUGUGUCCAUCACUACCAAGAGUUAAUUAUCAUUCUGAAUUUACUGAUCAUUUUUCCAUAAUGCAUAUUUUUAUAUUUUGAUACAUAUAUUUGUAUUGAUAAAUAUAUAUAGUGUUUUUCAUGUUUUAAUAGUGUAUAAAAUUUGGUAUCAUUCUAUGUCAUUUUGCAACAGUUUUUUUCUUCAAUGUUGCUUUUGAGAUCAUUCAUAUUUAUAUAUGUAACUCUGAUGUAGGUAUACAAUGUGUAGUAUUUUUUAGUGAGUAUGCCAUAAUUCAUGUAUCUGUUGUACUAUUGAUGGCUGUGUAGGUUCUUUUCAAUUCUUGCUAUAUGUACCGAUAUCAGGACAUUGUUAUGUAUACUUCCCUAUCCACAUGGACAACAGAUUUUUUAGGGCAUAUAACUAGAAGUGGAAUUGCCAGGUCUUUGGUAUACAUUUCUUUAAUUUACUAAAUAUUGUCAGCUUAUUUUCAAAAGUAGUUUUGCUAUUUUAUACACUUAUACAUUCCUUACUCACUGACGUUCUUAUAUAAGAAUGUUUCAUUUUCAGCUCACCUCAUAAAACUUGGUAUUGUUCGAUUGUAAAUUUUAAUAUAUCCAAAUAUCAUCUCCUUGAAGUUUUAUUGCACAUCUCCCUGAUUACUACUGAGGCUGAACAUCUUUUCAUAUGCAUAUUGACUAUUUUCCCUCUGUGAAAUGUUUGUUUCUAUCCUACUCAUUUUUCUUUUUGGUCAUUAAGCUUUAAAAAAAAAAUACUGUUGAUGUGUAGGUGUCCUUUUAUAUUCUGGAUAAUAAUCAUCUGUUUGUCAUAAGUCUUGAAAAUAUCUCGUCUGUGGCUUAUCUUAAUUUUGCUCAUGUGUUUUUUUUGUACAAAAAUUUUAAUUUCUAUGUGGCAGAGUUUUUUUGUUUUGUUAGGCAUAGGUAUUUUUCUUGUUUAGGAAUUUUCUUACUCUUGUGUUAUAAAGAUAUAUUUUUCUAUAUUUUACUUUUCACAUUAGGUCUAAUCAAUCAGGAAUUGAGGUAGGAUUACAGAUCAGGAAUUAGAGGCGGCAUUAUACCUCUAAUAUAUCUACACAUCUUGCUUUUCACAGUUAGGUCUUACCUGUCAGAAAUUGAGGUGGCAUUAUAAUCAGGAAUUAGUGGUGGCAUUAUACAUCGGUGGGGGAAGACAAGAAAAAAGUAAAUCCCCAUUUACUUUGUAAUUAGUCUUGGGUAGGGAUUUACUUUUCCCCCAUCAUCCCCCUGCUGACUGUGAUGCCAUCUCUUUGAUAUUUCAUGUCCAUGCUGGCAUGGAUCUGUUUCUCUGCUCUUUGUUCUGUCGUUUUAGUCUAGCUGCGUGUCUUUGGCCUAAUGCUAUGCUAUUCUAAUAAUGAUAGUUUCAGUAUCUGGCAGGAGACGUUUUUCUACCUUGUACUAUCUUUUCAUAGUUAUCAUUGUUAUUCUUGGCUCUUUGGCCUUAUAUAUGAAUUUCAAGAUUACACUAUCAACUUCUAUGAAAAACUCUAUGGAAUGACUUCAAAUUGAUCUAUUAAUUGCCACAAAUUUGCUGUAUUUAUAUUUUUUUCCCACAUGUGAACAUGGAAUUACUUUUCAUUACAUAGAGCUAAGGUUUUAUAAUUUUCCCCGUAAUGUGAUUAUACACAUUUUCCCCUGUGUACCGUAUGUUUUUAUUGUUGCUAGUGUGUAUAGGCUCACGUUAUCUCUCUCUCUCUUGCUCUCUCUCUCUCUGUUUCAGUAUUGAAAUGCUUGUUACUUGUCUAUAGGAAGUCUGUAGUUUUUGUUUGCUAGUCUUAAAACAAGCUACUUUUGAAAUCUUCUAAUAAUUUGCUACAGAAUCCAUUAAAAUUUUCUAUUUUGGCAGUCAUAACGUACAGAUAUGGGUAAUGCUUUCUAAUACAUAUUUUUAAAAUUUUUCAAGUAGUCUUGUGAUAUUGACUAUUAUCUCUAGAGCAGUAUGAGAGAAGCAGCGGAAUAGAUAUAUAUCUUUUUGUUUUUAUGUUAAUGGUAAUGUGACUAAAAUUUUAGUUUGUGAUAUAUGCUGUAAGCUCUUAAGAGAUACUCUACAUUACUCUGUAUUUGGGUAGAGAUGCUUCCUUUACUCCUUGUUUGUGAAGGUGUGGUGGUUAAUUUUAUGUGUCAACUUGACUAGGCAACAGGAUGCUCAGAUAUCUGGUUAAACAUUAUUUUAGGUUGUUUCUGUGAAGGUGUUUCUCGAAGAGAUUAGCGUUUAAAAUGGUGAACUCAGUAAGCAAAUGGCCCUUUCCAAUGUGGGUGGACAUCAUCCAAUCUAUUGAGGGCCUGAAUAGAACAAAAAGAUGGAGGAAAGCUGAGUUCAUUCUCUGCCUAACCGUUGAACUGUAGCACUCAUCUCUUGCCCUCGGUUCCCCUGGUUCUCAGGCCUUCAGACUCAUACUGGAAUCUAUACCAUUGGCUCUCUGGUUCUCAGGUCUUCAGACUACAUCACUGUCUUUCCUGAGGCUCCAGCUUUCAGUUGGAAAAUUAUGGGACUUUACUUCCAUGAUCACUUGAGCCUAUACCUUACAGUAAAUAUAUGUGUGUGUAUAUCUAUCAGUCUCUGUCUGUCUUCUCUCUCUCUCCCUCUGUAUCCAUCCAUCCAUCCAUCCAUCCAUCCAUCCAUCCAUCCAUCCAUCAUGUUUCUCUGGAGAAGCCUGAGUAAUACAGAAAACUUUUUAUCUCAAAUGAAUAUUUAAUUUAACAAUUAUUUUUCUUGCAUUUAAUAUAAUAAAUUUUCUGAUAUUAAACCAUCUUUUAAAUCUGCAAUUAAAUCUAGCUUUUAUGCCUCCAAAUCUUUUAAAGAAAUUUAUUUUACAUAUUCAGAAACACCAUCUGAUUUGUUUUAAAAUCUGAACUUGCUUUAUAGGAUUUAUUUUUUUGUCUGGUAACCAAACAAUGUUUUAUUCUUCAUCUUUUAUAUCGUAUAAUACCUAUAAAAUAUUUUACUUUAUAAUACAUGUAAAGGAAUUAUAAGUAGAAGCUCAGCUCUGACUUUGAAACUGAUUUCAUUUUUUUCCUUUGUGAGCCUAUGCUGUUUUAAUAUGGUGGGAAUAGGGUGUGGUAAGUGGUUUGUUCUUUAACAGUACCUGGAAAAAUGUAAUAUUAGGUUUCAAAUGGCAAACAUUGCAAUUACUUUUGCACUAACCUAGUAGAUAAGUGACAUAAUUCUAUAGUGGAGCUUGGAGAAAUAGUGUGAGCAUAAAUUCGUAGUCUGAGAAUUAGGUUCCAAAUUUAUUUUGUGAAAUUUCUUUUUCCACUAGCUACUUAUUGGCUUCUGAUAAAAGAAGUUAAAAUAAUAUUCCCAUUGCUUGAAUCAUUCUAUCACUACUCUAAGAUCACUUUCUUGCUUAUGGAUACCUCAUUUACUUCCAUUAAUUUAUUGAAAAAGCUUUUCAGAUUAAACACAAUAGAAACAGGUUAACAAAGGUAAAAAAACAUGAUUAAUUUCUUGUUUUAUAGACCAAAAAAAUUAGUGGUACUGUUUAAUUAUUGCAGUUGAAUUUGAUUCAACCAAACAGUGAUUUGAGAUCAUAGAAUACUGACAGCUAAGGCAAAAAGACAGCCAUAUUAAAUUAGAUGUGAUUUCAUUAUUUCAUAAGAUAAUGCAUCCUAAGAAAUCAUAAUAAAAUAUGUAAGCAAAAAUAGAGACUCACUUAAUUUGAAUAAUAUGUGAAUUAAUUUUAUGAUAUCAUUAGAGCUAAUUUUUAUGUUUAGCUAGCCCUGUUUACUUAAAAUUUAUCCACUGGCAAAUACAAUAGCUCAAACCAAUGCAGAAAUAUUAAUACCUGCAUUAUUUGUUUAAAAUUUAGGGUCCUAGGCCUUAUUUCCAGAGAUUCUGGUUUAUUAGGUCUUGGGAACAGUCUGAACAUCAGCAUAUUGAUCAUCACAGGUGGUCUUAGGAUUACACUUUUAGAAAUAGUGCCUCAAACAAAGAAAAAAAGUUAUGACUUUACUGUAUUUGGGUCAUUAUUCUAGAUUUCAAAAAGAGGCUUUUAAAAUUUUUUAGUAAUUUGGCAUUUCAAAGUAGAGUAAGUUAGAAAUUUCCAUGUAAAAAUAACUUGUGAUGGUUAACAGCUAAACAGCUAAACCCAAAUAGUAUAACAUACAUCAAUAGUUGAUUUUGUUAGCCACGUAGUCUUUUUCUUUCUAGCUUAAUACCUCUAUUUCAUGCCCUGUUUUCACUCCUUCACAAGUUUUAGUGGCUCAACAUAGAUGAAUUUUGAUCUUGUAUAGAUAUUCUAAGUUGUGGAUGUAUUUGUUAUUUCAUAUUUUAAGCAGAACUCUGGGAUUUUAAGAAAAGUAUUUAUUAUUUUGUAUUAGAAGAGGCAGGCCCUUGAUUUUCAAGAUUUAUUAUACUUUUGUAAUAACUGGCUGUAGUCAGGGGCUCAGAUAUCAGAACUGUUCAUGGGGAAAGUAAUUUCCACUGAUGUCAUUUCUAACCAAGUGAGUGACAUUGAUGUACGUAGCCCUGGCCUAUAACUGGUCAGCCUGAAAUAAUUAAUCAGAAAAAACAACUAUUUUAGUACCUGACUGAAUUAAAGCCUUAUUGGUAAUGAACUAGGUUAAUUGGAGUUCUCCCAUCUCGAGACUUUCACAACUGUCUUUAGGUUAACGAAAAUAUUUUAGAUCUAGCUGAGUGUAUAGCCUUGGAUAUUUCUGUGAUUUCUUUUAAGAUCAUAUGGGGAACGUUUUAUUUACGUUGCCUGGGGUUUAUUGGUGCAUUUCUCUUUAACAUUGUAAUGGGAAAAAAAAAACUGAUAAAACUUUUGAAAAUAUGGUGAAAGUUUCCACUUGUGUUUUAUUAAAUGUAGGCGAUACAACAUAAUAGCAUAGGUACAUGCAUUCUUUAUUUGCAGCUCUUUCAGGAGGAAGACAUUAAUUUUCAUAAGAAAUAUGACAUUUAUAAGAAUUGAAAAGUUUAAAAGGAAGUGCACAGAAAUUGGUAAGACUUGUAAAACCUUGGUUUACCAGGUCUGGUGAUGUCUUGCAUAAGAAAACUUCAGAACAGAGCAGAUACUUGGGACACUUGUUUAUAUUUUGCUAUUUGUUUACUAAGACCAUAAAUGCUAAGCUAAACAAUUCAUAUAUAGGGAAAGAGUGAAUAAAGAGAGAAGAUUUUAUUAUUUUCCUUAGGAUUCAAAUUUUCUGUCCAUCAUAGAAUCCUUUGAUUUUUACUUCUUAUGAAAGCACAAAAAGGCAAUAGCAUUUUCCGUAGCUCAUUAUUUUGAAAAGAAAAGUGAAGAACAUGAAAAUACUGCUCCUGUUGAUUCUAACACCCACCUCCAGAGAGAUACCGAAGACUUUCAAUUCAUAGUAGAGAUCUAAUCUUGCCAAAAAUACUAAACUUAAUUUUUAUAUUAAAAAUAAGAUUUCUAGAAUAUAUAGGGAAGAUGAUUGAUAGUUAUUUCAUGUCAGGCAGUUUUUCUUCCUUGUAUUAGAAUUUCAUUCAUAUUGAUUAUUGUUUAGUAUCAUAAUUUUGAGGUAAAGGAUUACCUGAAACUAUUGUAAUUUGCUUCUAAUCAGAAUAUAAAAUAUACUAGUUUUGUUAUUGUUUAUAAAAGAUAAAGUAAAGGAGAUUGGAUAAUUCUGUCACAAUUCUCUUUCUGACUCAACGGACGUUAUUAGCUGUACUCAGCAUUGAUAUCCCUUUAUUCCUUUGCUUACAGUAUAUCCUAGUUUCUUCAUGUAGCUACUCUGCUCUGCUGUAGGCUAAAUGCUUCAGGAGAAGCUGACCCUAAUCCAAGCUCCAUGAGUGGGCUUUAUUAGUCUAAGGUGAACACCAUCUUUCUUACCACUUCUUGUUUCAUGUGAAAAGGGUCAGGUACCCACUUAAGCGGACUGAUAUUAGGAGUAGUGCUGGUGCCUCCCUGGACAGGUCUUCCUUUAUUCUCACUGGGAGAGUUUCUUGAAUUGAUUCUCCUUCUAUUCUGCUAGGCUCCUGGCCACCAUUCUAACACCAAAAGGAGAGCUAGCUUUAAGAUAAAGAAUUACUACAGAUUGCAGAACAGAGAAAAAUAUUCCUAACCAGGAACAUUUUAACUCCACUGCAUAUUGUGUGUGUGUGUGUGUGUGUGUGUGUGUGUGUGAGAGAGAGAGAGAGAGAGAGAGAGAGAGACGGAGGGAGAGAGAGAGAGAUCAGAAGAUGAGGAAUGUCUUUGAUAAGAAUUUACACUGGCAAUUUUUUUUCCAGAAAAUUCCAAAGGGAAAAUUAAAAUGUGCCAUUUAGGGUUUUAUUUCAAGUAUUUAUAUGGGCAAAAUCACUUGCAUGCAUUUGAUAAAAUGUCUCUUUUUCUUUUCCCCCACCCUUCAAAGGUGUUAUUUUAUCCACUGCAAGACUUCAAAAUGGUUAUGUGAUUGACUGAAUAUAGUCAUAAAGCCAAGCCUUCUGAAGUUGAAGGGCUUAUUGCCUUAAAUGUUAUUCUUUUGAUUAUAUGGGUAGUCUAUUUGCAUUUGUUAGUGCCUCAUAUGAUAUAAUUGGAUGUCUCAUCUUUUGCCAAAAAUGUUAGAAUCUGAGAAACCAUUUAUUUGAAAAUUCCACUUUAAGGGUACAAAAUUCAGGUAGACAGGAGGAAUAUGGUAUUUCUUUUUAGUUCUAUUGCACAGUGUGGUGAAUAUAAUUAAUAAUAGAGUACUGUACAUUUUAAAAUUGCUAAGAGAAUAAAUUUCAGAUGUUCUCUCCACAAAACAAUGGAAAUAUUUGAGGUGAUGGAUGUGUUAACAAGCUUGACUUUAUUAUUCUACAUUGUAUUCAUAAAUCAUAACAUCACUUUGUACGCCAUAAAUUUAUGCAGUCAUAAAUUGACAAUUUGUGAUAAAAAUAUAUUCCAAAACUAAAAUUCAAAGCAAGUUUAAGAUGUGGAAUGUAUCUUGAACUAUUCCCUCUUUUUCUAGGAAAGAAAUAAAAUACUGAUAUAGUUAAUCCUUCAUCUGUUUCUUGCUAUCCAGCUUGACAGGGAACAUUUUAAAACAGUGCUCUUGAGAAGAGACUAUCUCAAUGAAUAUCUACUUGGGACCUCCUCAAAGGAAAGUGAGAUGACAAAAUUGGUGAUGUAUGUGACUCCAUACUCUAGUGACAGAGAAGAUAAUUACGGUGAGGUAUCUGGAAUGAUCCAAAGGCAAAUUGGAAUUUUCCAAGAGAGAAUGAAGAUGUAUUUGUGAAGAGAAAGACAGUUGGAAGGAAAUGUUAUUUUAGUAUAUAUUCUGGCCAUACAUGACUUAACAAGUAUGAAUUUCAAGAGGACAAUAAAAGAGAAAUUAUAGUAAUCAAGAUAGGAAAUGAUUAAAGAAUGGGAGAAAAUUUUAGCUGAGAGGGAAUGUGAAGAUUAAAUACAAAUUCUAACAGCCUGGUUGACAAGUUGAUGAGCACAUUUACAGAUGAGAAAUGAAGAAGGAACAAAAGAAUGACUUCAACAGUUUUGUGUAAGAGCCAGCCUCAGGUUUAUAUUAGAAAGAAUGAAAGUAGAAUUUGAGCAAAGAAGUUUCUGAAAGAGGAGAAAAUUAAUGUUUUGCCACAGUUUCCUUCUAAAGCUUACCCAAUGAUUGACAUACUUUUCUUUUUUAAGUGCCUAUUUGUGGGUGAUCUGAUACUUUUUGUAUCUAACCUUUCUUUUAUUAUUGAAAGAAAUAAGACAAAAUUCAGGAAGGAGAGAAUGUAUAUCUUUUUUGAAAUUAGACUAAAUGGGUGCCUUCCAUGUUUUGCCUGUUAUGUGUAGUAAAUUUGAUCUUGUAAUAUAAAAGUAGCUAUAUUCAAAUAGGCUAGAAUAUCUUCAUGAUUCUUGUUUGGGAAAAAUAAUUGUUACUUAUUUGCUAGCUGUAUUAACUGUGCAGAAGCUGGAAAAACAUUGGAUUUUGGGUCAGAUUCAGAUUCGAGUGUAAUACUGUUACUUAGCAACUUUUUGAUUCUGAGUAAGACACUUCUUCAGGCAGAAGGGUAUGAUCAUAAGUAUGCAUGGGAGGCUCACCAAUGAAUAGAAUGGCUCAUGUAGAUGAUCUGGAAAGUACUUACAGUGCUUAGGAAAGAGUACUUCUAUUUUUGUUUUUGUUUUUUUCUUGUACAUAUAUAAUGUCUCUGUGUGGUUGCAACCAUUGACACUUUUAACCAAUGGUAAAUAUAAGGAGUGAUGGGUACUAUGGCAAACUGGUAUCUGAAUUCACAGUUUAAAGUAUGUAGAUUGCGGUGAUAUGUGGGAAUGAGGGCAUAGUUUUGCAAGAACUGGUUUUUGAUUUUUGUUUUUCUUUCUAAGGAGGAGACUUAAGUUUGGAGUUUUUCUGUGAAGUUUUUCAUUUAUACAUGUAAGCAUUUCAUCAGAAAACAAUUUUGCUGCGCUGGUAUGUGUCAAACAAAACAAGUCUUUGAGCCAGAUCUGGCCUGUGGCUGUAUUUUGAAUGUUCUACUUUAAUCUCUAUCUCUCUCUCUUUUUUUUUUUUACAUGGUUAUGGAGCUCUGGAUAAUCUACACAGUAUGUACUAGAGUUUGUUUAAAUGUUGAACAAGAUGCUGAACAUUCUUAAUAUCAUAUAUUUUAUUUAGGUGAGAUUUAACAUAAAUUUGAAAAAAAAUUGGCCAGGCAUGGUGGCUCACACCUGUAAUCCCUGCACUUUGGGAGGCUGAGGCAGGUGGAUCACCUGAGGUCAGAAGUUUGAGACCAGCCUGGCCAACGUGUUGAAACCCUGUCUCUACUACAUUAAAAAAAAAAAAAAAAAAAAAAACAGAUUUGGUGGCAGGUGCCUGUAAUUCCAGCUACUAGGGAGGCCGAGGCAGGAGAAUCACUUGAACCCAGGAGGCGGAGGUUGUAGUGAGCAGAGAUCAUGCCACUGCACUCCAGCCUGGGUGACAGAGUGAGAGACCCUGUCUCAAAAAAAAAAAAAAAAAAAAAAAAAAAGAAGAAAAAUUACUUUGUCAUUCAUUCACUGGAUUAAAAACAAAUUUGCUAAGAGGAUACAUUUAAUUAAAGCAUAGAAGGACUCAAAGUGAUUGAUUUUAUUUCUCUAAUUUUAGUAAGAUAUAAACAUGAAAUUUGUUUUGAGUGUUUCACACAGAUUUUCUAAAUAAGCAAGAGAAGAUACCCUUGGAAGGGACUGGAUAGUAAAAGGGAACAGAUGAUGAAGUUUUAUAAUUUUUUUCAAGAUAAAAUCAUUACCUGCCUAUUUAAUUGAUUUAUUGUGUAUUAAAAAUAUAUUUCUACCCUCAAGUUUACCAAAGUUAACCAUCAUAUAUUUUACAUUAGAAAUGUAUGAAUACUUAUAGCUCUUCACUAUUCAUGUGACUUGGGUCUUAUUUUUUUAAAUCACCUUUUAUCUUAGAUACAGGGGGUACAUUUGUAGGACUGUCACAUGAACAAGGCAAAGAGGAACUUUAUUGAGCAACAGAACAGCUCCGAGGAGACCCACGUUGGAUAGCUCUCCGCAGGCAGGUCAUUCCUUCAAAUGUUCAGCGCUCAUUAGAUAGGAGACUCUGGUGUGGGUAGCUCCUCUCCACAACUGGUCAUACUGUCAUCUCUUUAGCUCUCAGCAGAGAGGAGAGCCUGGAAUGGGUAACUCCUCCCUACAGCUAGUGGUUCCAUCGAUUUCUUGAGUCUGGGUGAGUCUGGGGUUCUUGUGGGCCUCAGAGGGGAGGAAGUGUGCACCAGUUUGUCCAAGGGUGGCCAUAGGCAGGGCUGGAAGGUACCACAAGUUCCCAUUCUGGUUUGCACGACCAGCAGCCUGGCCCCUGGAGGGCUUCAGGCCCUCCCCAGCUUGAAGGUGGGGCCUUGCUAGGGACCCACCCCCUUCCACUCAGGAGCGCGUCUGCCUCCUGCCACAGUUCAUGGCACCCAGGCUGUUUGUGCUGUGGGGUGCCUGCAGGCCAGCACCAAGCUGCCUUCAGGCCCCACUCAGCCUCCCUCCCAUGCUCAUUGGCACCCAAAGCCUGGAGGGGGCUGAGGCAGCAGGGUGCUGGUAUGUCAGUGCUGCCCUUAUUGUGUGCACACUCAGCCUGAUUGUGACAGCACCCGGGCUAGGCCUCAACUCCACUCCAAGAUCGGAGCAAGUGCAGGGAGCAAGGAGAGGCGAGGCAGUGACAGCAGGCACCUCUGAGCCUGCAGAGACAGGGGGCCUUUCCUGGCCUCCAAGAGUGUAGAAAUGCCUGGGUUUGGAGCCGCCACUUGGGUGGCUGCAGCUGUGCCUGGAAGGGCGGGGCUUCUGGCUGCUUCCAGCUCCUGCCAGCUCUGUGGAGAGCGCAGUCCUGGAAACACAUCCUCCACUGAAGCUGGUGUCAUGGCAGCCUCUGCUCUAGAUGGGCUGCCGUCAUGAGGAUUGAGAACUCUACCAGAGCACAUGGAAUGAGACCGGUAGUCCACACAAGGACAGAGCAGGAGAUGGGAAAUGCAGUGGGCAGACAUAAAUAGCAGAAGCCCCAUGGAAUCCACAAAUCUAACAUGUUAUUAUCCUUUACCUUUAGAAUUGCUCUUCUUUUUCAACCAGACCCCACUGUGUGUAACAAUUAUUUUUUAAAUUGAGUUUUUAACAUCAUUUUAUUCAUCCAUUAUGUAUAUGAAAACAUUUAUAUUUUUAUGAUGGUGGCAAUAAUUAUUGUUUGCCACCCCCCCUUUUUUUUGGGUGGUAGUGGACAGGGUCCCACUCUGUUGCCUAGGCUGGAGUGCAGUGGUGUGAUCUCAGCUCACUGCAGCCUCCGCCUCCCUGGCCUAAGUGAUUCUGUCACUUCAUCCUCCUGAACAUCUGGGACCACAGGUGUGCACCACCACACCUGGCUAUUUUUUGUGUGUUUUUUGUAGAGACAGGCUUUUGCCACAUUGCCUAGGCUGGUCAUGAACUCCUGGACUCUAGCAAUCCACCUGCCUCUGCUUUCCAAACUGCUUGGAUUACAGGCGUGAGGCACUGCAUCCGGCCGUAAUUAUUGUUUGCUCUUUGAAGGAAAAAGUUGUUUGCUCUUUAAAGGAAAAUCUAUGAACUAUUAUUUUAUAAAAUAAAUCUUCCAGAUUAGGGUUCCCUGACUCUUCCUUAUAAUUCCCCCAGAAAGUUGAGAAAGAGAGAGAGAGAGAGAUAGAGAUAGAGACAGAGAGAGAGACAGAGAGAUCUGGUUUAAUAGAUCAAGAUGAAGACUGUCAAAAUGGCAAUACAAAUGCUUAGGAUGAUUUAAUGAUUACCUUAGUUUCGUUUAUAGUAUAGAAAGAGAAGAGCAACAUUAAACAGGAUUUCAAUCUUCUUUUUUUUGUUUUUGAGACGGAGUCUUGCUCUGUCUCCCAGGCUGGAGUGCAGUGGCCCGAUUUUGGCUCACUGCAAGCUCCGCCUCCUGGGUUCAUGCCAUUCUCCUGCCUCAGCCUCCGGAGUAGCUGGGACUACAGGCGCCUGCCACGAUGCCCGGCUAAUUUUUUUGGUAUUUUUUUAGUAGAGACGGGGUUUCACCGUGUUAGCCAGGAUGGUCUCGAUCUGCCUGCCUCGGCCUCCCAAAGUGUUGGGAUUACAGGCGUGAGCCACUGCUCCCGGCCAGGAUUUCCGUCUUCUAAUCUGAAGUUUUGAAUAUUCCAACCUCUUUGCACAGUCUUCUGCCUUGUUUUCUGUCUUUUUCCAGGUGAUAAUUUGUGUUCAAAUAAUCCCCAAGUUUUUCACAGUAUGGCUUUACAAGUAUACUACAUUUAUCUGUCAAGUUUCCGAUCACAUACCCUUGGUCAGAAUCUUUCUCAGGGUCCUUGUUUCUUACAGAUUAAAUAGAUUGGGUUUGAUAUUCAACAAUGUUUUGACCUGGUUCAAUUCGGAUUCCAGCCUAUUUCCUACUCCUCCCAUUGAAUUGCGGCAUGCUUUAAACUCAAAGUGUCUUUCUUAUGUCUUUCCUUUUUUUUCUUCAUUUUCGUCUCUCUUUCUCUGAAUAAGCCAUUGCUUUCUUCUUUCCACACUUUGCUUUUGUAGUUCCGCAUAGAGUCAUUUCCUCCCAGCUAUUCAGGAUGCCCUCCACGUUAACUCCUUUGGUGAAAAUCCAAUUUAUGUUUUGGGGCCUAUCUGAAAGGCAUUCACAUCUAUGCAGGCUAAUCAUAUGUGGUUUCCUUCUUCUGAACUCUUGUAGUACUCUCUGUAGUAUUUCCUUGAAGUAUUUAUAGUUUUCUUGUAUUUCUUCUUGUACUUUAUGGGAUUUCACAAAGUUUUAUAUACUGACUCAAUACAUAUUUAUUAAAUGACUUGGUAGAUAGAGCAACUGACUGAAUAUAUUAUUUUUUAGGAAGAAGAAGAACAUUUUUGCUUAAAUUAAAUUUCUUAUUUUAUUUCUCUUUCCCCUUUUAUCCAGGGUAGGUCCAGGUAAAGCCAAAGGCCUUAUCCUUAUCUACACUGCUGGGGGACACAACACAAGAAUUUCAAGUUCAAGUAUUAUUUCUCAUUUUGAGUAAUUUUGUUCUCAUUUUGUUCCAGUUCUCACUCUCAGAAAAAGAUUACUCUUUGUAUAUUAAUAUUUCUUAAUCAUGGUUCUUAUUUCAAUAUACUAAUAUCAUGGUAUUAAGAGCAGUUUUUGUUUUUUUUGAAUACCUUCCCUUCAGGGCAGUCUUAUGAUUAAGAAUAUAAGUGUAGGCAGAUGUAGUAUUUUUUUUUCUAUUAACCAGGUAGUAAAACUAGAAAAGGAAACACACUUCAAAAUGUAUCAUACUUAAAAAUAUAUCAAGCAUAAGAAAAGAGAAAUAUUUCUUUCCAAUGGUAGUGAGAAGAUACAUUAAUUGGGUUAUAAAAUAAGUGCAGGUAGUCCUUAGAGUUUUCUAAGAAUAAUGAGGCACCUAUCUGCCUAGUUGAAAAGACUUCUACCUAGAAAUAGCAAGAGUAGUUUUGAGGAAUUUUGUUAGUUUUUGCAAUUGUAAGUUUACACGUGAAAUAAACCCAGCUUGAAAACUUUAAGCUGAUGAAUAAAGAUAGCCACAUAAUUAUGUUGGAUGUGUGAUCUUCUUUAAAAAAGAUGAACUUUCUAAUUAUUAAGACAAAUAUGCCAACUAAUCAAUUAAUUCUCUACUAAUCUUCCUAUCAGGGGUCUCUUCCUAGGGAAUUGCUGAGGCUGGGGUAAUUUUAAUUAAGGUGAAGCAGAGAGUCAAGAAAGCAAAAAACAAAGUCUCCUACCAAAUGGAGCUAUUUGGAAAGGAGUUACUCAACCAAAAGGAGAUACAAGGAGCUACUCUGAAGCAAAGGCUCAGCUAAAAGGAGAGGACACGGAGAAGAGAUUGAUUAUUCACUCUCGGCAAAGAACACCUUGCUUGGACUCUGAGGGGACAGGAAGAGUACUGUACUUCCCUCCCAUGAACUGGAACAGGGCUAAUAGGCAUAUAGCAUAGGUAGGCCUAGAAGUGGGCAAGAUGAGGCCUAGAGAUCAAGAAUAUCUGAGUCAUUUUUCUUUUACUGACCCGAACCUUCAGGCCCACCUGUAAGUGUCCUGCCCACCUCUUUCUGGGCAGUUUCUUGAUGAUAUACUUGUAUAUGUAAUAAAGAGUAACAAAGAAGAGUUAUUUUAUAGUUCAAAUACUGUUCUGUGUUGUUGCUAGAGUGAUCAGUCUCUUUAGAGACUUAUUUAACACAAUUAUGUUUUUGAAAAAGUCAUUUGCUCCUACAGGCUGAUUAUUAUAGGAGGGCAUCUUAUUCUGAUAAAGGUGGUAAUUAUUUAUCUGGCUAAGCAAUCUUGUUGAUUGAAUAUAGCUAAAUGUUUGGUGGCAUUUAGGCUAGAGAAAUACUGUAUUGAUAUGUGAAUAAAUUAAAUGUAAAUAUGAGUUUUACCACCUUAGCUGAAACUACAUAUUAAUUUUUGAGUUUAAUCCGUAAUUAGUGAGUUUUUACUUUUUUUUUUUUUUUUUUUUGAGAAGGAGUCUCGCUCUGUCGCCGAGGCUGGAGUGCAGUGGCAUGAUCUCAGCUCACUGCAACCUCCGUCUCCUGGGUUCAAGCGAUUCUCCUGCCUCAGCCUCGCAAGUAGCUGAAACUACAGGUGCGUGCCACCAUGCGUGGCUAAUUUUUUAUAUUUUUAUUAGAGAGGGAGUUUCACUGUGUUAGCCAGAAUGAUCUUGAUCUGCUGACCUCGUGAUCGUGAUCCACCCGCCUCAGCCUCCCAAAGUGCUGGGAUUACAGGCGUGAGCCACCGUGCUCGGCUGUGAGUUCUUACUUUCUGAACAUUACUUUCAGAUUUCUGAAGAAAUAAACAAAUUGUGCUCUCUAAGUUGUCAUCACAGAUUCUUAUAAUGCUAUCAGUUUUAAACUAUAAACAUGGAGGCAGCACCCAUGGGAGUAAGAUAUUGAACGUUUACAGCAUGUGUACAUAAGUUACCUCAAAGGAUAAUUAGAUGAUUAUAAUGACACUUUCUUUGAGAUAGCUAAUUUUAAAAAUCUAUUGCUCCCAAGUCUAAUUAUUUGAGUAAUGAUAACAUAUUAGCAAUCAUGAAACUUCAGUCACAGCCAACCCCAUUGAAGAAAAAAAAGUAAAUCAUAGCAUUUUCUAUAAAGACCCAAAGGAUUGCACCAGACCAAUCCUUGCAUUUUCUGCUGUGUAUUCUAUGCCCAGCCUCCCAUCCGUGUGUACUCUAAACUACCUACACAUGUAUCAUUCAUGUGAUUUCACUCUAUUUGUUUUCAUUUGUUUUAUAACUCUUCCUUUGGUACCAGGGAGAUAAUUUUCUAGUUCUUCUCCAUCCUUUGUGAACCUCUGAAAGAAGGCUUUUAUAAUUAGACUUCAUAGCUUUAACAAACAUUUCAUAACCUGCCAGUAAAAAUGUCAGUUCUCUGGGCCAGGGCAUAAUUAAAUGAGUAAGUAUCAGUGUGGUAAUUCAGCCACAAAAUAAAAUAAUUUAAAGGGUCUAUUAAUUAAGGGCUUGCUUUGAUUUUGGAAUUCUAAUCAACAGUAAGCUCUGUAUGUUAUGGGUAAAAAUCUUCUUGCUUUCACCGUUCCCUUUUCUUGGCCUAUUACAAAUAGUAAAUAAAAUAAUUGUAUCAAUGAAAUUUUCACUUUGUUGUUCUUUUUUGAAUGAUUAUGCACCUGAGAGAAUGUUGUUAAAAUAGCAACAUAUUGGAUAUGGUCAAAAUGAACAUUUUGCUAUGAGCCUUUAAAACCAAACCUGAGUAAUACAAGCAAUAUAUAAACGGUAUAGUAGACUCUGUUUGAGUCCAUUAGGUCCUGACUGAAGACUGAAAAAACAGUAAAAGUGGAAUCCUGGAAGCUAAUAAUAGUUUGUUUGGUAGGGGGUCUUUUGAACUGAGAGCAGUAGGAGGAAGACAAAUGUGUGAAAUGAUGGGCAAUAUAAUGAUAGGGUACAGCGAGGAUGGAUUAACUAUUGGUAGCUCUUGUAACAAAGAAAGAAAAGCUAAUUUUGUAGACAAACAAAAAGGCUGGUAGAGUAAAAUUAAUAUUUUAGAAUAGAAAACCUCUAUCUUUGAGCUGGGUGUGGUGGCUCAUGCCUGUAAUCCCAGCACUUUGGGAGGCUGAGGAGGGCAGAUCACGAGAUCAGGAGAUUGAGACUAUCCUGGCCAACAUGGUGAAACCUUGUCUCUACUAAAAAUAUGAAAAUUAGCUGGACAUGGCGGCGCGCACCUGUAGUCCCAGCUACUCAGGAGGCUGAGGCAGUAGAAUCGCUUGAACCCGGAAGGCUGAGGUUGCAGUGAGGGAUUGUGCCACUGCACUCCAGCCUGAUGACAGAGCAAGAUUCUGUCUCAAAAAAAAAAAAAAAAAAAAAAACCAAAAAUAAAACGAAAAAGAAAGAAAGAAAGCAAGCCUCUAUCUUUGCUAGGAAUUAAUUGGUGGUUUUUACAUUUUUAAAGAUGUAUUUGAAGUCUGGGAAUGAAAGAGUAAGCAGUUUCUUAGAAGUCAGCAUAAUAAUGACUAACAUUAAUUGAGCUCUUACAUUAUUCUAGGAAUUGCAGUAAGUGCUUUAUGGCUAUAAUCUCAAAUCUUCUCAUGACCCCAUGAAAUAGGUUAGUUUCUAUGAGGAAACUGAGGCACAAAGAUUAUUAGUGGCUGAGCUACUUAACCAAGACAGCCUAUUUCCAAAAGUCAAGUGCUUGGCUAUCACUCUGUAUCCUUUCCAAGGUAUAUUCUAUUGAUAAUGAUGCUUUAAGUACAUUUCUAACCAGGGCAGUAUCUUAAUGCUGAUUUUAAAAUGGAGACUCUGGAAAAUUUUCUAUUGUACAAUAUAUUCCAAAAGGAGAGACACUUCCAAGGUUAAAUCAUUGAAUAAAUUUCCUUAAAAAUCUUAAAAAUGUUUUUUGUAAAACUUAUUUUUUAUUCAGAAAGAGUUGAAGCGUGAUAAAUGGCAAUUUCUGGUCUUUUUUUUAUCCACUUAUUUGAAAUGUAUGCUGGGUGUGCUCAUCUGGAGCCUAAGAGUAACACCUAAGGAAAAUCAUCUCCCCUGAUGAGGCUUAUUGUUUGUUAUUAGUUUUGUUCUGUUUGGUUUUAUUGUUCUCUUGCUUGGGAGAUGAAAAUAAGCUUCUAAGUAUAUAUUCUCACUUUAAAAAUCUUAAGAAAGAAUGAAUAAGAUCUACUUGUUGAUAGCACAAUAGAGUGACUGUAGUUAAUAAUAAUUCAACUGUACAUUUAAAAUAACUGAAAGAGUAUAAUUGGAUUGUUUAUAACAUAAAUGAUAAAUGCUUGAGGUAAUUCCAUUUAUCCUUAUGUUAUUAUUUUGAUACAUUGUAUAUUGUAUGUCUUUAUCAAAAUAUCUCAUGUACCCCAUAAAUGUGUACAGCUACUAUGUACCCACAAAAACUAAGAAUUAAAAAAAAAUCUGAAGAGCACAGUCACUUACUCGGUCGCUAUACACCAAAAUGCAUAUAAAUGUAGACUUGAAAUGUAGUUCGAGAUGCUGAUUUGGGGGAACUAAUUGAAAGGCUUGAAAAUUGCUUAGCAAUUCUGGACUUAAUGUAUCUUAGUGCUGGAAAGCUAAAGGGGACUUACUGGUAUAAAGGGAUAUUAAAAGAAACAUGUUUUUGUUUGUUUCCUCUGGGUGGAUGGAGAGGAAAUAAGCUUAAGUUAAAGCAAGCACUAUCUAGUGUUCUAAGGGAGACGUAAUGAAAAACCUCUGGUCUUUACUAAUAGUGAGAUCUGAAGGAGGUUAUAGAUUCUUUAAAAUCACAGCUGUGUAAGAAUAAGAUAGGGUUUGAGGUGUUUUAAAGCAGUCUUGUGUGCCAUUAGAAAAACAGAUUUGGUAUCAUUGGGAUGUCUUUAGAGAUUUAACACUGUGUUUUGUAGCACGUUUUAAUUGUGUGCACUUGGGUUUGGAGCUGUGCAGGCGGUCCUCUACUUAAAGUGAUUGUACUUGUAGAUGAUGCAUAAAGGCUUCCAGCCAGUUUCUUCUAUGUUAUUAUGUAUUGGCACUUAAUGCAAGCAGGUCACAAAUGAACUCGCCCCAGCUAGUCUGACUCCUGAUAUGAAUCAAAUAAGGCCCCCCUCAUCAACAGCCUCAGCUUGUUCCCAUGGGCUCCUCUGUGGAACUCAGUAUAGGAUUAGACUCAGCUCUAGAGCAGCAACUGGGAGAGAGCAGAAUGGGAGCAAGAUGGCAUGGCCUAUAGUUCAUAAUUUAAUCUUUUUUUUAAGUGUGUAAAUCUCCUAUAUUUUUUGUUAUUAUUAAUUUUUAUUUAAUGUUUUUUUUUACUGAUAUGGAUAGUUUACAAAUUUAAUUCUUGAAUUCAAAAAUUCAAAGAGGUAAAGUUGGAAGGAGGGAGAAAAAUAUAUAUUUGGUUAGCAAGAGACCUUUAAUCUGUAUAAGGUCCUGUGACGUUCAAUGGAACUGAUUUUCCUGAGGAGUUAGGAAAUUGGCUCUGUGACAAUCUCCAUAGAGAAGUUCUUUGGACAACUGUAGCAGUGAUAAUUUCCUUGAAAGAAAUACACAACAAACCAAGUAAAAACACUGUGAAGGGCUUCACUUAUUGAUGUAUGUGAUGGGCUGAAUAUGUCCCCCAGAAUUCAUAUGUUGAAACUUAAUCACCAAUGUGAUAGUAUUAAGAGGUGGAGCCUUUAGGAAGUGAUUAAGUCAUAAGGCUAGAGCUCUCAUGAAUGGGAUUAGUGACCUUAUAAAAGAGGUGGAAAGGAGGGUCUUAGGCCUGUUUUGUUUUGUUUUUGGCUUUCCACCUCUGCCAUGUGAAGACACAGUGUUGUCCCUUGUGUACUUUUUGCCCCUCCUGCAAUGUGAGGAUACAGCAAGAAGGCCCUCACCAGACACUGAAUGCUGGCACCUUGGUCUUGGACUUCUCAGCCUCCAGAACUGUAAGAAGUAAAUUUCUGUUCCUUAUAAAUUACCCAGUCUGAUAUUUUGUUAUAGCAGGAGGAAUGGACUAAGAUAGUGUAUGAAGUUUGAUAUAUUGAUGAAAAAGAAUUCAUUCUGAUUACUAUAUUGUCACACUUUACAUCCCAAUAUACUCCCAACAAUGUUUAAGUAAUGACUACAUCAAUAAAAGCAGUUUGAAUUGUAGACACUUACUCUGUGAUCUUCAGUAGGUCAGUUAACUUCUCUAAGGCUUAGCUUCUUUAUCUUUAAAUGGGGGAUAGCAAAACAUAAGCUCUUGUAAAGAUUAAAUCAUUUCUUAUAUGAAAGUACUCAACAUGUUAUUUAAAUGUGAAAGUACCUCAAGUAUAUAGGUGGUAGCCAAGAAGUUUUAUUUUUUUAAAAAUUUAUUUUUAUUCAAAAUCACAAAGUAUAGUACAGAAUUUUUAUGGGAAAAGAGAGCUGGUAGAUCAUUAUAAUAUCAUAUAUAGCUACUUUAUGCUUAUGUGCUAAUACACAUAAUAUAGAUCAACUGGCAUUAUUUAAUACUUAGUAUGCUUGGAAAACUGUACAGCAUAUUAAAUUUUAAUCAGAUAUUUUUUCAUAUAUGUUGUCUUGCAGAGGUGAUGAUAUGCUCUAGGUUUUAUUAUAAACUAAAAUGAGAUUUUUUUGUUGUUGUUUUAUGCCCUUGUAGUUCAUAUUGUAAUUUACUUUUAACAGAAGCAGAUCCCAAAUUGCAUUUUAAAGGUAGAUGCCUCUCAUGAGACAUUUGCAUCAGUGAGCGAUGUGGGCUUGUGAAAGUAUUUUCAAAACUAAUCACAGCAGGAUUUGUCUCAGUCGUUGAAACAUUGUUGGACAGAACAAGAUAAUUUCACAUCCACUAGAGGAAUGAUAUUAUUUUAGAAUAAUAUUUUAAAAUGUAGAUACUAUAAAAGGUAAAAGAAUAUUUUUUGAAUGUCAGAUUUAUUUCCUUUCUGAGUGUACAUUGGGAUGGUUAGACUUUAAAAGUAUAAGUGAUUUGUGAGUCCAUUCAGCAGUUCUAUAGUGUGAGAUCUUUUGUAUUAUCAAAGUAACCAUUUUAAACUAUUCCUAAGAAAAUUCUUACAAGGGUAACCAAUGUAAUGGUCUUGAGACAUGGAAAUUGUUUCCAAGAGAAGUUUUAGGAUUUAGUGAUUUUUUUUCAAAUAUUUGAGAGCUAUCUUUUUGGAAUUACAUUGCUUUGCUCUUUAUUAUACUGCAUAAAUACCCCGAGGAUCUUUUUUGUUUUUUUGAUUUGUUGUAUCAAACCUAUGUCCCUUCCUCCAGAAAAUGGACAAGGUGAAGGCAAAGAAGAAUUAUUUUACCUAAUGUUUGAUGGUGAUAGAAGCAGAACAAGUAGCAUCAUGAAUCUAAUUCCUUGGGUUUCUUUGGUCCUUCAGUUUUAAUUGAAAAAAAAAAAAAAAAAGAACCAGUAUAAUAAUGUAAUAUUACCCUAGGCUACUCUUUCCCAAACAUUAUUUCUUUUUUAUUGUUUUAAAAACCUAUGCCUUAUAUUUUCUGACUGCCUUAUUUAAAGUAACACCUUCCCCAAUAAUCUGUAUCUAUCUUGCCUUCAUUUUCUUCAAAACGCUUGUUGCCAUCUGACAUACUAUAUAUUUUUCUUGAUUUUUUUUUCUGUUUGUUUCCUUCAUUAGAAUAAAAACUCCAUGAGAACAGGGACUGGUAUCUGUUUUGUUUUUUGCUGUAUCCCAGUGCCAAGAUCAGCACCUGGUAUAUAGGAUGCCCUCAAUAAAUGUUUAUUGAAUGAAUAUGGUAAAAGAAAAAAAACCGUCUUGCCUAUUAAGGUGACUGACUUCUUUUUAUGUUAGCAUUUGUUUCAAGAAUUAAUUCAUCUCAAAUGAACUAUCAUCCCUUUGAAUAUCACCCUUCUUCUUUUUACUUGCAUCUGUGUCUGAAUAGAUAGUACUAGUUUGGGAGGUUGUAAUAGUCACUUCUCAUUUUUGGAUGGCCAAUGGCCUAUUUACAGAGGGUAGAUUACUUCCCCAUAACCAUUAAUGUUUAUAGUUUAGGGCAAGAGAUCAAUACUCAAGCCAUCUAUAUUAAACUUGGUCUCUCAAUAUGGUGGUCACCUAUGGAUUUCUUUAUUUGCUUGAUUGUUUCUGUCCAUCAUUUUCCAAAAUGGAUUUCAAGAGGCUAGGUCUCUACAAAUUCCUAACAUCCCCUUCACACUCAUCUCUGUUUCUACUCUACUAAUCAAUCAUUAUUGGGUCAACUAGAUAGAGUUCAUAGUGUAAAGUUGCUUAUUAUUUCUUUAUCUCAUUUCUAAAGAGAAGUAGUUCAUUUCCCCAAACUCCUUUUUUGCUUGGAUAAUAUUUUCCUUUGAUGUUAUAUUUUAGCACUGUUUUAGCCAGUCUCUGUGAAGAGUCAAUUCUACAUAUCCUCUGUACUGUCGAUCAUUAGAGUGCAGCAACCUAGAACAAAGUGGAGGCACUUGAAUUGCUGGCUGGGUUCACGAGUGAAACUAACUGUGAGGACACUCAUCUUUGCCCCGUUGGGUUUAUUUGGAGUAGAUCAGUUUAAAUGAUAGGCCUCCAUGGGAGAAAGAAGACACUUCCAUAACAAUGAAUUCUACAUGACAGGAAGCUAUGAGUGCGUGAGUACAGUUAUUUUUGAUUCUUGAAACUUGUUAUCAGAGAAUUGUUAGCAUGGUGGACUUAGGGGCCAGCACUCCAGUUAACAGCUUCCUUUUCCAGACAAAUUUAAGUUCCAUUAAUGGAUUUUAAUUACACUGACUUUUUCUGCCAAGAGUGGGUGUCAUGGAAAUUUAUAACCUGAUAUCAAAGGAAACAGAAAUUCUUCAUUUAACUUUUAAUUGUCUCUCAAGUGACAAUUACGCUUUGAAUGAUGGGUCAAAUGAUGUUAUUUAUUACAACACUAGGAACCUGUUUAGUCAAAUGGAGAAGCUACUUUUCAAAAGAUGGGCUUUGAAAUUAAUGUCUAGUUUUGCAUGUGGCUUGGUUAAUAUCUAUUUGGGCUGCUUUAACAAGCACUGGGUAGCUUAAAAACAACAGAACUUUAUUUCUCACAGUUCUGGAGACUGGGAAGUCCAAGAUCAAGAUGCCAGUAUAUUCAGUUUCUGGUUUGGGCUUAUUCCACAUAGCCAGUGUUUUCUUGCUGUGUUCCCACAUGAUGGAAGGGGCAAACAAGCUCUUUAGCCUCUUUUAUAAGGGCACUAAUCUCAUUCAUGAGGGCGGAGCCCUCACAACCUAAUCAGCUCUUAGAAACCUCAUCUCUCUUUUUUUUUCCUUUUUUUUUUUUUGAGACAGGGUCUUGCUCUGUUGCCAAGGCUGGAGUGCAGUGGCGCAAUCUCAGCUCACUGCAACCCCUGUCUCCCAGGCUCAAGCGAUCUUCCCACCUCACUUACUGAGUAGCUGGGACUAUAGGUACAUGCCACCAUGCCUAGCAAAUUUUUUGUAUUUUUUUUAGAGAUGAGUUUUCACCAGAUUGCCCAGGCUGAUCUUGAACUCCUAGGCUCAAGCAGUCUGCCCCCCUCAGCCUCCCAAAGUGUUGGGACUACAGGUGUGAGCCACUGUGCCCAGAGGCUCCACCUCUUAAUACUAUUGCAGUGGGGAUUAGGUUUCAACAUAGGAAUUUUGGGUGGACACCAACAUUCAGACCAUAGCAGUUAUAUUAUAAUUCUCAAAAAACUGUAUAAAGAUUACAUUCCUGAAAUUGACGCAGUUUUUUUUUUUUUUGGAUUUGAUACGUUAAAUGUUGGUUGGUGAUAACACAUCGAUUUUCAUUAUAUAGUAGUAGGAUGUAGGCAUGCUUUGCAUUUCCAUUUAAUGAAUUGUUUGUGUUUAAAAGAUGUCUUCAGACCCUCCAAGCAUAUGUGUUUGAUACAAGCUUUUUCAUAUGUGUUUCUUAGAACAGAUAAGAAUUGUUUCUAAACAUCCAAACAAGCCAAGAUGGGAAUCAGGAUUGUAUGAGUAGGAUCUGAUUUUGUCUUUAUAGAAGACUUAAUCUAAAAGAAUUUUCCAAAAGAAUUUUCCACAAGGAAAAGCUCUUUGGUUUUUCACUAUAGUACUAUAAUUUUGUUCAAAUUGUUAUUGAAUAAAAUAAGCAACAAUGACAAUAUUAGUUCUUGCAGGAGUACUAAAUACUAUUGGCAGUUAUGUUAAUGGGUUCUUCCUAUUGUUUGUAAUGCCUUUUUGUCUUUUAUCUGUUUGUGGAAUUCCUUUUAUUCCUCAAGUUCUAGGUGAAAUCUCCAUGAACUGUUUCUCUGCCAGGGCAGAGUUGAUUGCUUUUCCUCAGUGGUCCCAUUAUUGCUCUAAAUUAUCUAUUAUGGAUAUAGAUAUUUAUUAUGUCUAUUAUUUAUUACAGCCAUAUAACAGUGUAUUAUAAUGGUAUAUGUGUCUGUUUCUUUUUUUUCCAGCAGAUAGUGAGUUCUUCACGGGCAGAAAUAAUACCUUCCUCAAUUUUUAAAUGUAAGCUUCCAAAAUAGAACCCAGUAUAUACCAGGUUCUUUAGUUGGGAAAGUAGACAAACAAAAUACAAACAAAAUGUUCUGUUGUUCAUUUGUAAUAAUCCCUACUGUUGGGCAAACUUUGAUGGUGUAAAUAAAGCCAAUAUGUUUGAAAAUUUUAUAUAGUUCCACUAGAUGUAAUAAAGAGAUUGAUUAAAGAUCCAACAAGUUAAAUUAAACAGUAUUACACUUUCGACUGUGCUAAUAAGACAUUUUUGAAAGAUUAGAUUAUGCUUUAUUCUAAGAAAAGACAAUAUCAUGAAUCCUGCUUUAUUAAUACCUAAAUAUGUUAUAUCACCUUUGGUUAGUUUUGUGUGGCAGAAAGGAUACAGAAAAGUAAGAAUAGAAAGAAAUUUUAAUAUGCUGUACUUUUCCCUGUAAUUUUGUAAACUCACAUUUCAUAUGUACAAUAAAAAUAACUCUAUACCUUUAUUAAAACUUCAAUAUCUUCAUUUAUAUUGAGAGUGGUAGCAACAUAAAAUUGAAACCUGAGAGUUGUGAAGGAUAUAAAGUCAUGUUUUAAUAGAGAAACUAAAUUGCUCCUUCAAAGAGCCUAUAAAACUGAAAAGCAUUCAUUAUAAAUGUAAUAAAAACUUAUGAGUUCAAUUUUAUUAAAACUACACCCAGUUUCCUGGAGGGACUGGAUCAUUUAGAGGUAAACCACUGAUGCUUUAUGUCUAGCAGCAUACUUUAUGUGAGAUAAGACAUCUACUGAAAUGAGGUUGAUGGUUUUAACAUGAUCCCUAAUGCACAUGCACUCAUAAGAUUGUAAUUUUAACUUUAGCAGAGUUUGCUGCUUUUGAUAGUAAAUUAUUUACUGCUCAAAGCUCCUUCACCAAAAAACAGAAUGAUAGUGAAAGAUAAAGCUUAUGCUUCUUCUAAUUGGUUUGUUAUAUCAGACUAACAUUCUGUAAACUUCUUACUCAAAUCAAAUUAUAUAGGUUAACAUUGUUACAGGAGAAUAACUUUAGUGAUUACCAUUGGCUUUUCUUUUUCUAUUCAGACAUAGUACUGUUUUUAAUGUGUUAAGGAGAAUCAUUUUUAGUUUUGGCUUCUUUUAGUGUUUUCAACUUUUACAUAUUUCAUAUUUGAUGCUAUUUUACAUGUUCCACGUACAUAUUUUAAUUAACUGUGGUUGUAUUGCUGACAGUGUGUGAAGGUGCAAAAGGAAAUUACAGGGAACUGACAGGUUGUCCAGUUACUCUUAGUUUUAGAAUCAAAGAACUUUAAAUAGAAAUACUCGCAUACUUAAAUGAGAGAAUUGAAAUAUUUGAGUUAAUAUACAUUAUAUGUAGGCUGUAUUUAUUUAUUCGGAAAUGAGGCAGGUUUUUUUGUAAAAUGGUGGCAGAAUAAAAAUGUGUUUAUUUCAAUCCCUUUCUUGAAACCUACUUCACAAAUACAUGUAAAUUAAUGAAAAAAAAAUGGACACAAAUUAUAACAGCCCCACUAGGAAAUGCAGUUCGAAAAUGUAGUGACUGACAUAGCUAUCAAGUUCAGUGGAAUUUAGUCCAUAUUGAGGGAGGACAUUGGGAGCUGAAACAGUUUUCCAGAUCUCUACCUGUUUGUAUAUAUCUCUGAAAAUGCAUAUAUUCUCCACUCAAACAUUCAAUUCAAUUGGUAGUUUUUGGUAAAUAUUGAAGAAGUUUACAUUAUUUUUGGGAACUUAGAAUCUAAAGAAAGAGAAAGAUAUGACAAGGGCAUUAUAACUCUAAGGCCAGAUAUAAGUAUGAUGGAAGAACAGAGUUCCAGAAUGAACGAGUCCUAAUAACAGAGGAGAAUUGGGAAAAAUGCUUCAUAAAGGAAGUAGCAUUUGCAAAAGUAUUGAAAGAAGGAUAAGAUUUUGGUAGGCAGUUAUGGUGGAAAAAGGCAUCAUUUGUAGAAGUAGCAUGAAUCAAAGCAGAAAUUAUCAGGGCGUGUUUAGGGAAUAGUUAUGGAUUCCAGUUUGAUUGCAGCAUGUGAUACAUGCUGGAAAGUAUGAAUCACUGCUUCACAAGGAGCUGUGGUUAACCAGAGUGACCUGGUACACCCAUGUUGUAGGAACUUUGAGUUCAUUAUGUAAGUUGAUCCACACAGCAGCCCAUAGGGUAAUAAUAACUGCUUGUACGGGUUAGGAAAAUAAGACUCAGAACUUGCUUAAAGUCACUCUGCUAUUGAGUAGUUGAGCCAGGAAUAUGACCGAGAGCCGUUCUGACCUGUGUUGUUACUCACAGUAUUAUAUGAUUCUAAGGGCAGAUCUGGAGCCAUAUUUAGAGGAAUUGUCACAUCAGAUCAAAACUUCAGCCAGUUUAUGCAGACUAGAGAGAGCAUUUUUUUCUUUUUUCAAAAUGAGUAAAAGAAAGUCUGUCUUUAUUUUCCCAUUAGUAAUUGCAUUCUUGUGUCCUGGAGGACAGGAAAAGAAUACAUGGCUUCAAAAUGCCAUCUUUGGAAUCCUUGGUGAAAAAGUGUAAUUAAAACCCAGAUGUCCCUAGAUUUAGAUUAUCUAUGUACUCUUCAUUCUUCUGUGCAAUAUUAUCUGUCUACUGAUUUCUAAAUUAUAUUUAGUCAAUGUUUUUUCCUCCUUCUUUGUUAUUGUUGCUUACUGUAAGGUAUAUCUUUGCUUUAAAUCCCUACUAAUGUGUGACAAUUCUAAAGUCUGAAGGAACUUUUAAUUUGAAAGUAAUUGCCUAGCAUCAAGAGUAAUUUUCAAAGGAGCAAAAUUAUUUUAAACAUUUUAAACUGCAAUUUUAGUCUUUAGAAUUAGAUGGAUUUGUCAUUUGAUAGAAUGUAAUAGUAUUGAGUGAACACACUGAAAGCUAUCGCAUUGUAUAGUAGUUCUGCUGAGUUUUAAAAUAUAGUUGUUUUUCCCAUCCUUCCAGCUGAUACUUCCUUAACUGAUGACAGAUGGUACUUUGGUUUGUUGAAGCCCAAUUCUAUGAUUAUUUUAUCUUUGAUUGCCUUUUUAAAGACGUAUGGAGAUAUCUUCAUCAAAUAAUUAGCUAUAUUACCUUGAGAAUUAUUUUACUAUAAAUACUUGGUUCAUUUUUGUUUUGUUCUCUUCUGUUUGUUUUGAGAUGGAGUCUCGCUCUGUUGCCCAGGCUGGAGCACCGUGGCGUGAUCUCAGCUCACUGCAAGCUCCGCCUCCUGGGUUCACGCCGUUCUCCUGCCUCAGCCUCCCGAGUAGCUGGGACUACAGGCGCCCGCCACCACGCCCGGCUAAUUUUUUGUAUUUUUAGUAGAGACGGGGUUUCACCUGUGUUAGCCAGGAUGGUAUCCAUCUCCUGACCUCGUGAUCCGCCCACCUUGGCCUUCCAAAGUGCUGGGAUUACAGGCGUGAGCCACCGAGCCCAGCCAAUACUUUGUUCAUUUUUAAAGGAAUUUGUUGGCUUAUGUGAUCGUUGUAAGAGUUGGUACUUCCUCAACCUUUUCAGUAUUUUCUGGGCCUCCGAUUUUGUAAAAUAACAUAGCAUUAAUUCAUGAUGGCUUUGUGAAUAUAAGAGGAUUCAAGAGAGUUCGUGGAAGUUUAGGGAAACUUCAUAAACGAAAAACUGGAAGUAGCUCAAGUCAGCCUCAGUAAGGGCAAAAUAAAUUGAUAUACCUAUUCAGCGAAAUACUGCACAGCUCUGAGAACCAGUGAGUCAAUUUUGUAUGCCCUGUUAAAGAGUCGUGCCUAAGAUAUAUUUUUACGUUACAAAAAUGUAAAACUGCAAAUAGUAUGAGAGCGUUUACGUAAAGAUCUUUAAAGCUAUAUGGAUAUAUAAACAACAAACGUGCAGUGAAAAAUUUUGAAGGAACCAUUAACAAUGAUUAUUUAUGGGGAAAGAAGCUAGGAAAAAUGAUUAUUUAAAUUUAAAUCAUUUAAAUUCUCAUAUUUUCAUUUCCUAUUUCGUGAAAGUGCUUUAUUUUGUUUCUUCCUGUUUCUCCCACACUCACAAUGAGCAUGUAUUGCUUUUAUUAACUAAAUAGUUUUUUAAAAAGUCCCUUUUAUUUAGAAAAUAGUGUAUAGGAGACUCUUAGUGUCCUCCAUAAUCUUUUUGAAUGAGACUUCAUAAUCUCCUAAUUUACAAUGAUUGUAAGAUGCUUUAGAGAAAAUACCACAUUGUUCUAGUUUAACACUCCUAGUGAUGAAUGGGUCACUUCAUUGAAUAAUUUUUUUUUCUAGUUUGAUUUUUAUCGUUUGAUUCUGGAAAUGAUGACCCGAUCUGAACUUUAGCUGGCAUGGCCAGCAUGGUAUAAAAGGCUAGCACCGUAAAGCAUUUUGUUCCUUUUAGGGAACAAUAUAAUCUUUCACAUUAUUCCAAGAGAUUAUUUUUCAUGAUUUUUCCUAAGGUCCCAAAUAAUCUUAGUUUAAAAAUUAAAUUUAUGGGUGUGGCCCCUUAUGCCUAUAAUCCCAGCACUUUGGGAGGCUAAUGUGGGAGGAUUGCAUGAUCCAAGUAGUUCAAGACCAGUCUGGGCAACACAGAGAGAUACUGUCUCUAUCAAAAACAAAACAAAACAAAACGGUGGAUGUGGUGGCAUACCCCACCUGUGGUACUAGCUGCUUGGAGGCUAAGGUGGGAGAAUCACUUGAGCCCAGGAGUUCGAGGGUGCAGUGAGCCGUGAUUGUGUUGGUGAAGUCCCGCCUUGGUGAUAGAGCAAAAAUAAAAUAAAAUGAAAUGAAAUGAUAGAGCAAAAAUGAAAUGAAAUGAAAUGAAAUGAAAUGAAAUAAAAUAAAAUAAACAAUAAAAAUUAAAUUUGAUUACACAGUCUAGCAUUCUAUUCAUAUUUUUCUGAUAAUUUCUAAAAGUUAAAUUUAUCAUGCUCUGGAAAACACAUGGAUUUUAGAAUCGUCGACACUCAUAAAAAGGAACUCAUAGGGUAGUCAAUGGAAAUAAAUGAGCUCACAUAUAUAAAGCAUCCUGAAGACAGACUCAGUCCGUAAUUAGACUUUCAAUGAAAAUAUAUGUACAUAUUUGCUUUUAAAAAUAAAAAAUCCUUUAUAAUAAAGUUUCUACACAAUAAAAAGAUAAUGUGGCAAUUGAUAAAGAGACAUGAUUGAAAUUUUGCACUUUACUUUGACUUCUAGUAGUGUUACCUCCUAUAUUCUUCCAGUCUAUCUCUUUUUUAUUCCUUGCAAGUUUAUAUUUUCAACUUAGUCUUUAGAAGCAGCUGAUAAUGUCCGUCCAGUUUGUAUUGAGAUCAUAGAAAUUGGUAUCAGUUGAAACAGAAUAGAUAAGUUUUGAAAAAAAUUUGUUUCUAGCCUCUCAUCUAAUCUUCCAAAAAUAUUAAUGGGAUUUAGGUUUCUACUGUCCUUACUACUUUAAAUUUAAAUUAGUUUAAAUUGAAAUUAUGUUAAUAAUCCAAUAAACUUAAAAUCUUUGUAAUUUUAUGUAAAUAUAAAUGGAAGCCAAAAAUCUAUUACUUCCUGCCUCUUUCAUAUACUUUACAAUGUAAGUUUUAUGUAGUGCAUGUUAUUUCAUUAAGACCUAACAUAUUAAAUAAAUAUACUAAAUGGUGACAGUUUUAAUUGUUAUUUUUCAAUAGUUUGGUUUUUAAAAACAAUUCACUGAAACACAUUUCUGCUUAUGGAAAAUCAUCUAUGAAAACGAUAAGUAAAAUUGUUUUGUAAUAUUUUUGCAUAAGUAUAUACAUUGCAAAAAAACUGGAAAUUUAGUGUCUACAUGUUAGAUAUGAUUAUAGAAGUUGAUACUGGGUAGAGCUAAGUAGAUAUGGUCUUGGUAAGUAAUUUUGUGAUUUCUAAUAUAAGGUUAGAUAUAAUGCCUACCUCACAGACUUGGUGAAAAUAAUUUAUAAAGGAAAUUUUAUAAAGCAAUACUGUUUUAGGUGUUAAUCUUUUAUUUAGAAACAAAUAUUGAUUAUUGUUUUUAUCAGCUCCAUAUAUAUUUGACUGUGAAGACAUAUGUACUAUUCAUUCACAACAUCUAUUGAGUACUUGUUGUGGACUGGGGAUUGUGGCAGGUAGUGGCUUUUGUGAUAAAUAAGAUGAGGUUCUUAACACUGUUGAAGCUCAUAGUUAUUGAAGGAGAGGAAGCAUUGAAGCAAAUAAUUAUGGUACAAAAUUACAAAUGUUAUAAACAGGUGUAAUGGUACAAAGGAGGGGUGGAUUCUGCUGGGAUCUCAGGAAUCUUUCUCAGAGGCUGCUCCUUAGGCAAGAUAAAUGAGUGUUGACAUGACUAAAUGGUAGACUGUCAUAGGUAGAUUGAAUAUUAAGUAAACAUCUACUCCACUAUUAAAAGAGUACUAAAUGUAGGAUGAAUACUCAGUUCAUCAAAUGUUUAUUGAAAAGUCACAAUAGACAAGUUCCUUUACUAGCUACAGAAGAACUAGAACCCUGAAAAGAUCUGGUUCUUGCUCUUCAGGGGCUCACAGUCCUACAGGAGACAGAUGUGUGUUCCCAGAGGGCUGUGCCCCAAGGCAGAAGUUGAGUAAAGGUGCUGUAGAAACUUUGUGCCAUAUGACCAGGCCAUGGUAUCACUGCCAAAUCCCGAAGAGACAGCUGUGACUUUAUAAGUAGUUUGGCCUCUGGAAUACUGAGUUAAAAGUGGACUGGUCUAAAAGAGCAGAGAAAUUUUAAGAAAUCAGUAAUAUUUUACAAAUGCAUAUGUGAUAUAGUCUUGAGAUGUAAGGUCAAUUGAUGAGUAGGACACAGAUUAAAUAAUGGGAAGUUGACCCAUAGCCUGGUCAAAAUAUGUGUAAAUAAUAGGUAAAAUAAGUAAUAUUAAAGGAAUAUAAAUUAUAUCGCUAAAAAUACUAUUAGCUAACCCAGCUAAAAUAUCUUAAUUAGGUAUAUCAAUUAAAAUAUGUACUGGAAGAUCUCCUAUUGAUCUUUUAGUUUUUCCCACUUAAAUGAAGAGGCUCUUUCUGAUUGGCCUCUGUUCUCUCUGGUCAGCAUCUCUGGAUAUUGAGGAUUUCCCAUUCGGAGGACUAUAUUUAGCAUCCCUUUUCUCCUUAAUCCCAAAUAAUCACUCUUGGGAGUUAUAAAACCUGAGUGAAAAUAAGAACUAUAUUUUCUUUAAAAGUCGUUGGAGAUGGAUGCUCAAUGUUUGACUCUGUUUUAAGGAUUGUUUCUGGGUCUUUCUUUUUAAAUCAUUACCACACUUUAUCACCGUCAGACAAAAAUCACCUCAAUUUUAUUUUUAUUGCGCCUUUAAGAUUGUUUAUCUAUUUAUCCAUUCUUACUUCACUGAUUCUCAGAGUGGGAAGAAGAAGCAUCUUAACCCACUGUCAAGAGCAUACCUUCUGCCACGCCCUUGUUCUGUUAUUCCCUGCUUCCUGCAAGAGCUUGCACAGACACCCAUCGACUUUCUUUUGUAUUUUAAUUUCUUCCCAUUAGUCCUCAAAGAGGCUACAUCUCCACAUACUUCACAAAAGAGAAAUAAACAAAAGAGGAAAUCCCUCACAUUAAUCUCUCCUCAAUCUUUUCCUUUCUCUCUGUUCUCCCAUGUUUGAACAGUUGCUUUUACUCAAUAUCUCCAUUUAUGCAUCUCUUAGUAAUUCUCUGUCCACUGAAGUCUGGCUUCUGCUGGGAUCAUCCAGAGCUGUCUCAGGUUGCCAAGGACUUCCCAAUUGCCCAACUCAAACUCUCCUCAGGGGCUUGAUCACUGUACAAUCUAUGUGAUUAGCCAUCAUUUUUCUAAACUCCUCCCUUACCUCAUCAGCUACCACUCUCUUCUUGCCUCUGUAAUUUGUUUUUAGUCUUAGUUGUGUCUUCUGCCUUUAUCCUGCUUAAAAUUGUGGCUAUUUGUUUUAGUUCUGCAUUUGAUCUUCUCUUUGUGUACUUUGCACUCUCUUGGGCAAUCAUCCCCUUUCUUUGAUUAACCUGCCAUGUGAUGCCCAAAUCCAGAGCUCUUGUUUGGGUUUCUCCUGAGCUCUGUUCUCUUGGCUCCAUCUGGAUGGACAAGGCACUUCAUAAUUGGUGUGUUCCAAAUGUCUUACUGAUUUGUAUCUGUUGUCAACUAUAAUUGAGAUUGCUAUCUUUCAAAAUAAACAAAUUCACUUAAUUUUAUUAAGAUUAAGUAUUUUACACACUAAGUUUUGUUGGAAGAAGCGAAAAGAAAAGGAGUUAUGAUUGCUGGCCGUUUGGAUUGCUCAGUUUUCAGACUAAAUACAAAUUUGGGGCUUUAGAAUAGCAGGAAAUAAAAAUAAAAUUUUUUGAAACUAAUUGACACAUGAUAUUUUUAAAAGUCAAAGGAAACAAAUGACUUUAUUGGAGUUCCUUAUACUUAUAUCAUGGUGUAGUAUUUUUAUUUUAAAUAUUUGGCCUUGACAUUAAAUAAUAUAUGGGAAUAUGAGCUCUCAUAAUCUCAUAAUCUUUUCAGGGCAUAAAAUAAUCUGAUCAAGGCUGAUGAGGGUUAUAAAAAUAUAUUGUUAUAUUCUGUCUUUGAUGGCUUCUGGGUGAGUCUGAGAGAAAAUUCUCUCUUCCACUUGGGUACAUAGUUGAUCACCCAAACUCUAAGUGAUACCUGAUGAGUAAAGGUGUCAACCAUAAGGUUGCUCUGUGCCAGUGCGACUUCUGUUUGCUCUCAUUACCUUUCGCCAGAUUCUGCCUGAUAACCACAGAUUUCCAUGUGGCUCCCUCCUACUCCUGCUCCUGCUUGUCAACAAGCUCUCUCACCUGCGUCUACUACAUAGUUCCUGGCUGUAGAAAUGGAACCAAGUAGCUUUCUUUUGUAGAAUAAAUGGACUUAUCCUUAACCAGCAAUGGAUGAUUAGGAUGGGAAGGUAGGGUGGAGGGAUGUGUAUAGAAAGAAUGUGAAACUUGAAGUGCCCUUUAAAAAAAUGUUUUCUUGUUCAGCUCAGAGUAGAUCAACUUCUGUUUGGCCUGACUUUAUUUCCUAAAGACAGUAACUGGUCUCAAGACAUGUUUAAGAGUAAAAAAUGCUAGAAUCUUCUUACCUUAGAAGCCAGUUUGUGCUACUACUGACCUGUCAGGAGGAAUACUUCCAUGUCAGGAGGAAGGAAUAUAUCAGUAUUUGCCUUUAGGGAAUUUGCCUGGAAGAGUACAUUAAAAGUCAUUCCCAGUCAAGGCAAUUUGUUUAGAUGUAAAAGCAUAUAAGUUUUGUGUGUGUGUGUGUGUGUGUGUGUGUGUGUGUGUGUGUGUGUAUUUGAGCAGCAGCAUUUUACCUUGUUACAGAUUUUAACUAUCUUUCUGGAAGUAUUCUGUUAUAGUGAAUGUGACUGUAAUGUAACAAACAGAUUUUACAUGCUUUAAUGGAAUUUAAAUUGCUCUGUGAGGCUAAAUGAAAUAGUUAAUCUAGACUUUUGCCUGGGUUUUCUUACCUGCAUUUUGGGGGAGGAAUGUUCAAAGAAUAUUUUUUUAAAAAAGAAUAUCAUUCAAAAUACAAAAUAAUAUACUGCAAAUGAUAUUAAUAAAGGUCAUAUAACUACAUUAGAAUGAAGACUUGUAAGCCAGGCUGGCCUUGGAAAUAGUUGUGAGUCAGGCAGUAUGCUUUUGUUGCUUCUCACCCUUACUAUCUCUUUGAUGCCUUCUUAUCUGCCACUGCAGUGGUCAGUUCUUUCCUAUUCCGUUUGCCCGCUCAAAGCAAAAGGAAGAAGUAUUAUUGAUGUUUGCUAUGGGUCAGGCUUUUUAUUGGGUGUUUGACAUAUACUGUCAUUUAGAUGACUGUUAAAUUUGUGGCACCAGCUCUCCUUCCCCAGCUGCAAACUUUGUCUAUUCAAAUUGCCUAGUUAAGAUGUUGUAGAAUUUGUUUAUAUCACAUGAUGUUAUACACAAAUACCUGCUUACCAACCUACCUUCGUACAUACAUAUUGAUAAUCCUGUUUUAUAUAGAUAAGCAAUAUACUCAUGUAAUGUCAGUGAAAAGUGUGGCUUUUUAUGCCAGACUGCUUGAAGAAACUAAGGCUCCAGAGACUGUCACCUGCCCAAGGUCACAUAUUGUUAGUGACAUAUUGUAGUAAAUGGAUUUCGACCUAAGUGUGGCAGACACCAACUUUCACUCUUGCAAGUAUUUUUAACCACUUUUCUCUACCUUACGUUCCUAUUGUUCUAUUGGUGCAUAACGGAGUGAAAUAUUUCUCUUAAUUUUGUAUUUUUUGUGUUUUAUAUAUACAUAUAUUUUAUGCAAAAUAAAAAUAGUUUUCCCUUCGGACAAAUCUAAAAGUAUAUUUGAUAAUAGAGGAAGAAGCUCUGUAAUAUACAUUUAGCAUGUUGGUAAUGCUAGAUUUAUUUUUUAACUAAAGCCUGAAGGACUAGUAGAAUCAGAGAAAACCUUGUUUUUGCUUAGGUGUCAUUGUUUACCUUGAGAAUGAAAAAUAGAGCAAGUAGUUAGAAAGCUUAGAGGAGUUAAAAAUAAUAACCGUCAUGCUGCCCUAGAAAUAAAAGGAAAUGAUAAAGCAUAUACCUACUAGCUCAGUGAUCAGUGAUUUUAGCUAUUGGUGAGACAUUUAAUUUAGUGUAAAAAAUGGUAUGAGAUGAUGCUGUAAAAUGUAUAUCUGCAGACAAUUUUUGUUUCAUUAUUUAUUUUUAUAUACUGUCAACUGGCCAUGUUAAUUUCCACUGAUAAUACAACUGAAAUUAUCAUAUCAACCUGUAUUUCAGGGACUUUCUCCAAAUACACUCAGAGUUGUCUUAUAAACAAAACCUUAUUAUAGUCACACAGAGUUUGAAAUGUUAAGGCUAAUUUAUGAGAGCAGUUUGUCUGAAUAAGCAUUUAGUCUAGGAAAGGAAUCUUUCCUCUUAAAGAUAUAGUAAGUCUUCUCUUUCUACUCCUAAGCCCUCUAUUUCCCAUGCCUGGGGUGGGUUGGAGGUAGAGAAAGCACCUUAAGCUAAGUCAGUUCAAGAUCAUAAAAGCUAUGAAGAAUGACAAUCCUCUGAAGCUUUUCUGUAUUAAAAAUAUCCUCCUUAUUCUCUUACCCUUAUCUUUGCCCUAGUUCUUUGCUGAAGAAUGCCAUAGUUUCUUCAGUAUUUGUAGAGUUUAGGAGAAUGUGGACCAAUAUUUAUUUAUUUUUUUUUUCAGGACUUAGGUUAUCUGUGAUAGGAAAGUUAGAGUAUAAUCUAUGAGUAGAGUGUAAACACACUAAAGAAAAAGCUGUAGAGAAAAUAACUGCCCUAUUUAUUAAGUAUUAGUGCUGUUCUUCUGGUCAUUAAUGUCAAGCUAAUUUCUUUUCUGGCAGGCCCUUGUAGUAUUUUUUUUUUUUUUUCAUUAAAAAAGGUGGGUGACAUGAAAGCACUGAUGUCUUUUAAUAGUUAUCAUUGAUACACAGGCCUCUCAGGCUUCUGACACCACAAAGGCAAAGUUUCUGCUUUUGAGACACAUCUUUCUGCCUCUUUUGUCUCCUCUAAUUGAUUUUGUUAUUUUAAUUGAAAACACUGGUUUUAAAGAAUGGAAUUCUGUAGGGCCCUGGUUAGAGAAUAGCCACAAUAAAAAGUAUACAUGAAUUAUCUUAUUUCUUCUGAGUGGCACUGUUUGGCUGUGGUGCCUCUAGACCAUUCUCUACCACUUACUCCAGUUUGCACUUGAGGGCAGAUUUUUCUCAACGGUACUAGUAGGUGCAGUAAUGGAGCUGGCUGAUGCUAUUGGAAUGGUGCUUGAACAGGAGGAACUUUUUUAUUAGCCAUAUCUGUAGUUCUGAUCUUCCAGGAAGUUAGCUAGUUAUAAUAAUUCCCUUGGCUUAAAAAGAUCAUAUUAGGUAGGAAAUCUUCCUAUUGAAAAAGAUGUUAUUCUGUAGGACUAAUAGCUAAAUAAUAAGCUAAUAUGAGUAAUGACACUACUUUGGAGAGUGUCAGUAAUACCAAGUUUUUCAAGUGGCCACUCUCUGGGUCCCCUUCCAUUGUGUGCAAGUGCCAAUUAACAGUUUACCUGUACUAGCUACCCACUCACUAGCAAGUACAAGAAAUUAACUCCUCCCAGGACAAAACAAAUUACUUCCUUAAACUGCCAGAUCCAACUACGAUGAGCAGAGCCGUCUAAUAAGCUCUUAUGGACUGAAUGUCUACUCCCCAAAUUCAUAUGUUGAAAUCUUAACUCCAAAUAUGAUGGUAUUAGGAGGUGGAGCCUUUGGGAGGUAACUAGGUCACAAGGAUGGAGCCCUCGUAUAUGAGAUUAGUGCCCUUAUAAAAGGGACUCCAGAACAGUCUGUUGCCCCCUUUCUGCCAUAUGAAGAAACAAUGAGAAGAGGUCAGUCUGCAAACUGGAAGAGAGCCCUCACCAGAACUUGACCAAGCUGACAUUCUGAUCUCAGCCUUCCAAAACUGUGAGAAGUAAAUUCCUGUUGUUCAUAAGCCACCCAAUUUAUGGCACUUUGUUAAUCGCAGCCUGUACUAAGACAGGAGCACCAUGAAUUGACUUGAAACAUGUGGGAUACAGCCUUUAUUUAAGCUGUUAUUGAAAAAGCAAGAGAGAACUUAAGCCACACUGUGACAGAGACUGUCACAAGCCGUGGAGGGAGCAGGAGCGGUAGACUGGCAAGCUAUAAGCACUGACAUCUACUUUUCCUCUCCAGAGGGGCUCUGCCAGGAAGUUCCCAACCCUUCCUACUAAAGCUUCUCCUUCUCUGACAUAUCCCAAAUCAACUUGGACUUCUCUAUCCCCAUGCCCUCCUUUAAAAAACAAAAAAUCCAUUUUCCCUUUUGGAAGCAAUAGCAUCAAUAUGGAUGUAAAUCUUACUCUAACUUGGCAGUAUUUUGACGUACUUAAGGCCUCAGAUUCCAGAGCCAGGUUGCCUGGAUUUGAUUCCCAAAUCUACAAUUAAUACAUAAGUGAUUUGGGCAGGUGAUUCAAGGUCUCUGUGCUUCAGUUUCCUCUGUAAAUAACCUGUGUGCACUUUGUCUAGAGAAUUAGUUGAGUUGGUAUUUGUAAAGCACUUAAAACAAUACCUGCCACCUGAUAAGCUCCUUUUCAGUGUUUGCCAUCAUAAUGAUUAUUAUUACUUGAAAUGUAAUUCUAAUGACAACGUUCAUUCCUUCAAUAAAUAUUUAAUAAGAACAUACUUUGUGCUAAGCAUAGUAUUCUGUCUCAUUUCCAACAGGCUCCAUACUAUGAGUAAGGCCAGACACUAACUAUAAUAUAGUGGUUUGAAUUCUCGUUACAAUACUAUGUUUGAAAUAUAAGAGUGCAAUUGGCUUUUAGCUAUAUAUUUUAAAAGGUUAGAUAUGUAACUUGGGCUUGGGUGGUAUUGCCCUGAAUAUCUGGGUACUCUUUCAAAGUGCCAGCAUUAUAUUUAGUUGGUCCUAAAAGGGAGAGCCUGGUGGCCCUCUCCUUGGGUGGCAGAACUUAUGUCUUGUCUAUGCAGUUGCUCUGCUUCCUUGAGACCCACUGAUGGAAGGGUUAAGACCUGCUUGGCCAGAAAGGGAAGGGCCUAAUUUUCUUGCUGCCCACAGACUAUUAGAACACCACCACCUUACUCCCAUUCUCUUACACUGCUUUGCAACACACACUGUAUGUUUGCAGUUGUCCUUGACAACAUUAAUACUUACUUUGAUUUUAUUUAUACGUUUGCAGUCUUUUCCUCUGUGUAAAGGUGUAUUCAUUUAUGGAGAAAAAGUGCCUACUACUAAUUCUAUUCCCAGAACUAAGUAGACUAAUUUAUACUGUACUGGGGAGACAAAAAGGUAUUAAAACUUUUUUUUUUUAAAAAAAGCAAGGACGAGGGGGAAGUUACAGAAAAUUGUAGGGAAACAGUUUUCAAAAGUAAAUGUGGCCUCUUCCUGGUGUUGCCUUUGUCUCAUCCUGUCCUUUAUACAUGAAUUCCAGAGGUUCUUAAAGAACUAGGCCGUAAGACUCAUUCUUAGAUUUUAUACUGAAAUUGAUUACCUCAUCAGCAUGCCUGAUUAAAGUGGAAAGAGGCUGGGCACGGUGGCUCAUGCCUGUAAUCCCAACACUCUGGGAGGCUGAGGUGGGCGGAUCACCUGAGGUCAGGAGUUUGAGACCAGCCUGGCUAACAAGGUGAAACCCCGUUUCUACUAAAAAUACAAAAAAAUUAGCCAGGCUUGGUGGCACGUGCCUGUAAUCCCAGCUACUCAGGAGGCUGAAGCAGGAGAAUCGCUGGAACCCUUGAACCCAGGAGGUGGAGGCUGCAGUGAGCUGAGAUCGUGCCAUUGCACUCCAGCUUGGGCAACAAGAGUGAAACUCCUUCUAAAAAAAAAAAAUUGAAAGAUAUGGUUCUAGAUGCUUAAAAAAAUUGAGUGGAAUGAUAGGCAUAUAUUAGGCAGAAAAGAGGAACAAUGAAGGCCAAAGUAGACAUAAGGACAUGAAUAGUCCCAUGGCUAUAACUGUAUUUGUGACAAUCACAUGCCCGCAGCAUAUACAUUGGUGUCACUGUCUGUCUGUGCAGUCUUUCCUUUAGAAAAGGUUAAUUACAGCCUUUCUUUGCAUCAUGGACACCUUUGGUGGGAAUCUGCUAUACCCUAUACAACUCUUCUCAGAAUACAUUUUUAGAUGCAUAAAAUAAAAUAUAUGUUAUUUAAGAGGAAACCAGUUUUACUGAACUCAUUUAGCAAAAUACUUUAAAAUUUGUGAUGUUAUUAUAUAUUUGUUUCUUCAUAAUAUAUUUAAAUGUAUUAAGAUGAUCUAAUAACACUGGGCCUAUAAACAAUCAUAGUUUCAAAGUAGUGUAGUGUUGAAGGUAAAAAAUAUUUCAAGAUAUGUAAAACAAUGGGAAUGUGAUAUGAAAAUAAAUCAGAUUUCUGUUGGUGACCAAGUCAUAGAAUUUAAAAUAAAGCAUAUUUCCCUACAUGUCCAGAAGCUAAGCAAGCUAAUUACUCAUAUCUGUUUAUACUUCUCAUGUUAUUUCAUCUAAAAUGCUUAUAUCCAUUGAGAUAAAGAUUUAAGUGAACAAAGUGGUUGGACAGUAAUUCAAAAGGAUCUGGCAGAUAGUUUGCUCUAAUCUCCUUGCUAUUCUUUUCAUUAGGUUACAAAAAUUUUAGUUUUCUGUUACUGUUCUAAUCUACAAGAAUACUUGUAGGUUAAAGUGAGUUUUCAGCUUCAGUAAUUUUUGUUUACAUAAUAUAUUUUUGUGGUUAAUUGUUAGGUUCUUUUUAUCCUUUGAGGUAAUAUGCUCACAACCUGUAGAUUUGCUUAUUUUGCCAACACUUUCAGACCUUCAGUCCUCAUGCCUCCUGACAUCUGGAAUUUCUCCGGGUAUAUUUUAUUUCCAGUUUCUAAAUGCAAUGAACAUAUUCAGACAUAGUAAGAAGGAAAAGGCCUAUGAGUUACGGGUGAUUGCUUUUAUGUAUUAAUGGUGUCCAUGGAGGGUCUCAUUAACACACACAGCAUGAGGAAUUUUUGCAGCUACCACGUAGAGCUGAAAAAUCCAACCACAGAGUAGAUUUGAUUGUUUAUGUCUCAGUAUUUUUGUUUGGAGCUUUAGAGGACAUUAACAAAACUUCUUGGGACAGGUGGAAUGCCAUAUGGCAUAGGGACUGGACCACUGCCAUAGCUUUAGAGAUUUAUCAAAGCUUCUCCUUCUAGUGGGAAUGAUAUGAGUCUCUUGGACUGCUUCCAUUCAGUGAUGACAUUCAUGUACAGAUCAGCAACAAAGGUACUUUAAUAACAAAACAAAACAGUAACUAUCUCGAAAGAGAUUUCUUGCUUUUGAUAGGGACUGAAGGAGAGCAUCUUUAUUAGCAGGAUAUUUAUUGGAUUCAAAACUUUUUUAUACUUACUAACUUAUUACAUAAAAUUCAUACAAAUACUGUUGUGCAGUAAUUUGAGGGUGGGUUGGGUGACGUAGUGGUUUCUAUGCAUUGAAUACUCCUAAAUUCAGAUUUUAUGCCUUCUGAACACACAAAUGCACACACACACACACUUUUUAAACAUCUAUGGGUAGUUCUGAAUGGUGGCAUUACCUCUGAGUGGCAGUGUCUGGGGUCUGCUGUAGGUAACAACAGAAGUCAGGUUUCUGUUGCACUUGUGACAUUUAUAGCAAACUUCCUUUCCACAGUGUUUUUUGACCAACUUUGAGGUGGGGUGGGAAGAACUGCUUUUGUAGUACUGGUUGCUACAACUGCUUCUAAUGAUCUCUAAGUAGUAGUGAGACCAGAAGCUCUAGAGAAGAAAAAGGCAAGGGAAGUUCCUUUCAAUGCUUGAGAGAGAAAAUGGAUUGCAUCCUUGUUUAAUAGAAUAUGGAGAAAUUGAAUAUAAUUGUCACUGACUUCAAAUUAUCAAUAUAUAUGUACUUUGGAAUACUACACACAAUUCAUUCUGUACAACAUAAUUUUUGUAAAUGAUGAUACCUUUCAGGGUGUCAUUUUAGAUGGAAAUUGGCACCUUAAAUAUUUUAAGGUGAAGAUUAAAGAAUAUAGAAUAACAUUUGCUUAUUGACUCAUUUCCAUUAUUUUCCCCCCUAUUUCUCUUUGAUUCUUAUGAUAUAAUUAUAAUUUUUCUCUAGAGCACCCUGGAGUAUUCUUUGAUUCUUCAUAGCUGCUCAUAUAUCUCUAAUAAAGUAGUAAACCAUAGUAUGAAAAAAUUAUAUUUCAUUGAAUAUAAAAUAUAAUAACUACUACUUAUGGAUACUUUCUAUUUCCAUAAAUGAGCUGGAUAACUUAUAUUGUCCCUAUUAUUGUGACGACAGUGCAAACUAGGUGUUAUUAUUUCCAUUUUAUAAAUGCAGAAAAUGAGACCAAGAGAAAUUAAAUAACUUCCCAAGUUCUUACAAAUGUACCUAACAACUGGCACAACUGGGUUUUAAAAAGCCGUUAUCAGUUAAAUUCCAGAGUGUAUGUUCUUUCUUUUAUGCCUGAAAUAUUUGUCUUUUGUUUUAUGUCAGAUAUUUCACAGGGAUUCAUAGUUUCUUGAUUGAGGCAUUUUGCCCCUUUGAGUUAAAGGGUCUCGAUGAACUACAAAUAUGCCUUGUGGAAGACUUAACAACAACAACAACAAAAUGAGAGAAGUCACACUGCUAAUGAGAAACAAUGUGUGAUCUAGGAAAAUGCCAACCCAACUUCUGACUUUGAUAAAUAAACUGAGAAACUCUAUCUUGACCCCAAGCUGAGUGCUUUCUUGAGAUUUCCAAGGUCUGAGGAUUCUUUUGAGUGGAAUGCAUCAUGGAGUUUUCGGGGACUGGGCUCUGAGGCAACCUGGCUCCUCUACAACCAAAUUCUUUUGAGACCUUGGGACAGCUUCUGCUCUUCUUAGUUUUCAUAGGACCAAAGAAGUGGUAAAUACCUGAAGGUAAUAGAAACUAGAAAACAAGCUAUGGAUUUAGUUUCAUUAGCAUUAUUAUUAGCCGGGUAAGUGGGAAUCCUGUUCCAGAGUUCCACUGAGCAUACUGAGCCAUUGAGUCCUGAUGAUGUUAAAGUGAUGGACAGUUAGAUAGAUUUGAUUAUACUAAGAAUGGCACUAGGAAGAAAAAGAGUAAGAGUCUUCAUUUUAUGUAUCAAUUCCAUGGACUUAUUCCCUCUUCUGACACUUAGGAAAGAUCAUUUUAAAACCUCUUUUUAUGUUUUUUAUUUCUUUUUAUGCUUAAUUCUUUUUAUUAAAGUAAGAAAUGGCUGCAUAUAUUGAAAUGUUUAUUCUUAAAACUUUUGAAGCCCAAUAAUUUUAUUCAACACUUGUUCUAUAUGUAAGCAAGGUUUGAGCAUAUCUAAACUGACAGAUGAGCUAGCUACAAAAUUUAUAGCUAUUUAUUUUAGCCGUAAGAAGUAAGCAGAAAUGUGGAAACAAUGGUAAGAAACCCUUAGUAUACUUUAUUAUUGUGUUAGCUUUUAUCAUGCCGUUGAAAAUAGUUACGGUCAACUUUUUGUUAUUGUUUGUGGCAUAAAACUAGAUUAAAUGAUGCUGGUCAUUUGUUUAGGUUUAUAUAAAACCUGCACAUUUAUCUUAGUAUCUGCUUCCAAAAUUGGAAAGUUCAAGUUUUUGUAUUUUAGGGCAAGAGAACCUUCAUUUAUUCCUCUUAUUGGUCAUUUGAGUUUAUAUUCAUUGCUGUGCUUCCAACUAGUAGCUAUAUAUGUGGGGCCAGAGCUUCUCCAUCAAGCUGGGUGCUCAAAUACAGGAUUUACCCAUUUGUUAAAUUAUGAUUCAUCUGACAUUAUUUAGAACAUGGUAAUAAUGAACAAGACAGGGAAGAUCCCUAUUCAUGGACAUUACUUACAUUCUAUUAAACAAACAAAUAAGAAAAUAGCAGAAUAGUGAUAAGUAAAAUGCAGAUAUAGGAUUAUUCAUUAGAAGCGUGUUUCAUGUUAUGUGUUUGGGGAAAUAUUAUCCAUUCUUAUUUUAGAAAGUCACAUGAAGAUAUUGCUAUAUUUAUUCUCCAGCCAACCACACAGCAGAGGAAAUUAGGCUCAGUGAUGUUAAAUCUUUCAUAUUAAGUGGCUCCUAAACAUAUGUGCAAGUUGCCUAGUGGCAACAAAAACAAUAUAGUAAUAAGAACAUCAGGUAAUGUAGACUCCUAAUUAUAUUUAAAUAGGCCUAUGUAUUGUGAUAAUAAUGUAAUAAUGGUAAAAUAACAUAGUAAUAAUGGUAUAGUAAAAGUAUAGAAAUAUGGUAUAAUAUUCGGUGGUUAUAAAAAUUAAUAUCAUUUUCCUUGUUCCAAUAGAAUCAAGUAAACACUGUAAUGUAUGUUAUUUUAAUAUUGCUAGAUUUACUUUAAGGAAUCAUAUUUUUGUAUCCAGGAAACAGCAUAGAAACCUAAUAUACAGUCUGUCAAAUUUUUUCUCAAUUUAUAAAAUGAAACACAUAUUCCAUAAACAGCCAAAAUGAAUUUUAAAAAUAGGCUUUGUCAAUAUAUACGUGUGAAUGCAUGAAAAGUAAUUAGAAAGUACAGUCAUUUCAGCACAAUUUUAUUGUAGGCUUAUGUCAUUUUAUUGUGCUUCACUGUAUUAUGCAUUAGGUUUGUAGCAACCCUGCAUUGAGUAAGUCUGUCAUCACCAGUUUUCCAACAGCAUGUGCCCACUUCAUGUUUUUGUGUCACAUUUUGGUAAUUCUUGCAGUGUUUCAAACUUUCCUUUUUGUUACAUAUGUUGUAGUGAUCUGUGAUUAGUAAUCUUUGCUGUUACUGUUGUAACUGUUUCAGGGCACCACAAACCUCACCCAUGUAAGAUGGCAAGUUGAAUUGACAAAUGUGUGGUUCUGACUACUCCACUGACUGGCAGGUUCCGGAUCUCUUUUCCUCUCCUCAGGCCUCCUUAUUUGCUGAGACACAACAAUAUUGAAAUUAGGCCAACUAAUGACCCUACAAUGGCCUCUAAGUGUCCAAGAGAAAGAACGAGUUAUGAGUCUCUCACUUUAAGUGAAAAUCUAGAAAUGAUUAAUUUUAGUGAGGAAAGCAUGUAAAAAAUUGAGAUAGUUCAUAAGCUAGGCCUCUUGUACCAGUUAGUGAAGUUGUAAAUUCAAAGGAUAAGUUCUUGAAGGAAAUUAAAAGUGCUACUCUGGUGAACACACAAAUGCUAACAAACUAAAGCAGUCUUAUUGCUGAUAUGGAGAAAGUUUGGGAGUUCUGGAUAGAUCAAACCAGCCCCAACAUUCUCUUAAGCCAAAUCCUAAUCCACAGCAAAGCCCUAACUCUCUUCAAUUCUGUGAAGCCCGAAAGAGGUGAGGAAGUUUCAGAAGAAAAGUUGGAAGCUAGCAAAAGUUAGUUCAUUCCUGACAGCUUCAGGAAAUAAGCUGUUUUCGUAACAUAAAAGUGUAAGGUAAAGCAGCAAGUAUUGACAUAGAAGUUACAGCAAUUUAUCCAGAAGAUUUAGCUAAAAUAAUUGAUGAAGGUGGCUUCACUAAACAACUGAUUUUCAAGAUAGAUGAAACAGCCUUGUUUUGGAAGAAGAUGCCGUGUAGGACUUUGAUAGCUAGAGAGAAGUCAAUGCUGGCUUCAAAGCAUCAAAGGACAGGCUCACUCUCUUGUUAGGAGCGAAUGUAGCUGAUGACUUUAAGUUGAAGCCAAUGCUCGUUGCCCAUUCCAAAAAUCCUAGGGCCCUUAAGAAUGAUGCUAAAUCUGUUCUACUUGUUCUCUGUAAAGGGAACAACAGAGUCUGGAUGACAGCACUUCUCUUCAUAGCAGAAGUGUCCAAUCUUUUGGUUUCCCUAGGCCACACUGGAUAAAGAAGAAUGGUCUUGGGCCACACAUAACAAACACGAACACUACCAACAGCUGAUAGGCUAAAAAAAAAAUUGCAAAAAAAUCUCAUAAUGUUUUAAGAAAGUUUAUGAAUUUGUGUUGGCCAUAUUCAAAGCUGUCCUGGGCUGCAUGCAGCCUGUGGGCUGCAGGUUGAACAAGCUUGGUUUAUAGCAUGGUUUACUAAAUAUUUUAAACCCAUUGUUGAGACCUACUUCUCAGAUAAAAUUUUUUUUUUCAAAAUAUUACUGCUCAUUGAAAAUGCACAUGGUCAUCUAAGAGCUCUGAAGGAGAUGUAUAAAGAGAUUAAUGUUAUUUUCAUGCCUGCUAACACAACAUUUAUUUUGCAGACCAUGAAUCAAAGAGGAAUUUUGACUUUCAAGUCUUAUUAUUUAAGAAGUACAUUUUGUAAGGCUCUAGCUAUCAUAAAUAAUGAUUCUGCCGAUGGCUCUGGGAAAAGUAAAUUGAAAACCUGGAAGGGAGUCACCAUUCUAGAUGCCAUUAAGAACAUUUGUGAUGCAUGAGAACAGAUCAAAAUAUCAACAUGAACAGGAAUUUGGAAGAACUUGAUUCCAAUGCUCAUGGAUGACUUUGAGGGGUUCAAGACAUAAGUGGAGAGAGUAACUACAGGUGUGGUAGAAAUAGCAAGAGAACUAGAAUUAGAAGUGAAACUUGAAGAUGGAACUGAAUUGCUACAAUCUCAUGAUAAAACUUAACAGACGAGGAGUUGCUUUUUAUGGAUAAGCAAAGAAAGUGGUUUCUUGAGAUAGAAUCUUCUAGUGAAGUUGCUGUGAACACUGCUGAAGUGACAACAAAGGACUUAGAAUAUUUAAUAAACUUUGCUGAUAAAGCAGUGACAGGGUUUGAGAGGAUUGACUUCAAUUUCAAAAGUUCUACUGUGGGUAAAAUGCUAUCAAACAGCAUCAUGUGCUGCAAAAAAAUCUUUCAUGAAAGGAAGAGUUAAUUAAUAGGGCAGACUUUAUGGUUUUCUUAAGAAAAUUGUUACAGCUACCCCAACCUUCAGCAUCCAUCACCGUGAUUAGUCAGCAGCCAUCAACAUAGAGGCAAGACCCCCUAGUAGCUAAAGGAUUACAACUGGCCGAACGCUCAGAUGAUUGUUAGCAUUUUUUUAGCAACAGAGUAUUUUUAAAUUAAGCUAUAUACUUUGUUAGACAUAAUGCUAUUACACAUUUAAUAAAGUACAGUAUAGUGUAAACAUAACUUUUAUAAGGACUGGGAAAACAAAAAAUUUAUAUGACUUGCUUUAUUGCUGUAUUAAUUUUAUUGUGGUGAUCUAUAACAAAAUCUGUAAUAUCUCCAAGGUACGCCUGUAUUUGGUUCUGUGAUUCAGUAGAAAAAUGCUUGCUGGUUCUUAAAAGUAUGUAUAUGUCCCCUAGCUAGUAAGAAAUAGUAAUGUGAAAAGUAAUUAGCAUAUUUGAGCACAUGGUAUUUGAUAUUUUCUUUUUUCAAAUAUCAAGUUAAUCUCAUUUUUAUAAUAAAACAAAAAAUGAAUACCCAGGAAAAGGCACACAGGGAAUGUGGAAGCCAGGAUUUAACUUCCUGCCCUCUGACAACAAGUACCUUGUAAGCUGUUCCCACUCUUUGUGACAUAAAGCUGCCAACCCCAUCUUCCUGUCAUAUCUGAUGUUUCUAUAUGUGAAUAAAAGAAAUGUCACAUGUACCCAACUCUAAGGGAACAUUUUAGGGCAAAGGCUUGUCUUGGUAAAUUAAACUUGUGUGUUAUCUUCUAGGGCCUUAAUAACAAUGGUUCUAGUUGCUUCAUGGACUAAAAGAUCUAUACAUGUAGGUAAAUAUCAAAGCUGACUAUUCUUUGAUUUUAUAUUCUAUUAUUCCAGUUGAUACAGUUUUUAAAUUUGGAGAUGUUUAAAGGACAAAGUUUAAUCAUUAUAAGAGAGAAGGUCAAAGGAAAGGGAAUCGAUUUUUCAAAAGUGGGGAAGCCCGGGCACAAUGGCUAAUGCCUGUAAUCAUAACACUUUUGGAGCCUGAGGCAGAAGGAUUGUUUGAGGCCAGCAGUUCCAGACAAUCCUGAGCAACAUAGCAAGACCCCAUCUCUACAGAAAAAAUUUAAAAAAUUAGCUGGCAUGUAGUAUGCAUCUCUGGUCUCAGCUACCCAGGAGGAUGAGGUAGGAGGAUCACUUGAGCCUGGGAGGUCAAGCCUGCAGUGAACUGCGAUAGCACCACUGCACUCUAGCCUCGAUGACAGAGCAAGACCCAGUCUUCAAAAAUAAAAACAAAAAUGAAAAAAUAAAAGCAGGGCAUUGUGAAACUCACUAAUCUACUCAAGUGUUUGUUGUGCUGAUUUUAAACUUUUUUUGACCAUUUUGUUAAGAAUAUUUUUGUGCAGUACUUUUUCAAGAUUUCACAUUUUCCCUAUCUUUUUUUUCAUCAACAUUUACUGGUAAACUUGAGGACUGGUAUUCAUCCAAUGAAGUGUAUAUUCAGGAAGAAAAGAAUUAUGCAGAAAGAAAGGUAUUAAGGGACACAGAUUUUCCUUUCUUUCUUAUACUACAUGUAGAAAAUAAACUAGAUUAAGUAAAUGGCAUUUCAUACCUGGAAGAUCAUUGAGAAGCUAUAGGUAAUAAGAGAGUCCACACUGUGCACCAUUUAUUUUUUGUUUAUGGUUCGAAUGGGUUUAAAUGAUUUUUACUCUUUUAGUUAUUUUGAAAUGUACAAUUAAUUAUUGUUGAUGGUAGUUACCCUUUUGUGCUAUCAAAUACUAGAUUUUAUUCAUUCUAUUAAACUAUAUUUUUGUAUCCAUUAACCAUCCUCACACUCACAGCUUCCAUUACCCUUCCCAGUCUCUGAUAACCAUCAUUCUUCUCUCUAUCUCCAUGAGUUCAUUUGUUUUAAUUUUUUUAGCUUCCACAAAUAAGUGAAAACAUGAGAUUUGUCUUUUGGUGCCUGGCUUAUUUCACUUAACAUAGUGACCUCCAGGUUCAUCCAUGUGGUUGCAAAUGACAGGAUCUAAUUCAUCUUUAUAGUCGAAUAGUACUCCAUUGUGUAUAUGUACCACAUUUUCUUUAUUCAUUCUUCUGUUGAUAGAAAUCUAGGUUGCUUCCAAAUGUUGAUUAUUGUGAAUAAUGUUGCAGUAAACAUGGGUGUGCAGAUAGAUACCUCUUUGAAUACUGAUUUUAUUUCUUUUGGGUGUAUACCUUGUGUGGGAGUGCUGGAUCAUAUGGUAGUUCUAUUUUUAGUUUUAUGAUGGGCCUUCAAACUGUUCUACAUAGUGGCAUUACUAAUUUACAUUCCCACCAGCAGUGCACAAGGGUUUCCUUUUCUUCACAUCUUUGCCAGCAUUAUUGUCUGUCUUUCAGAUAAAGUCAUUUGAACUGGAGUGAGAUGUUAUCUCAUUGUAGUUUCGCUUUGCAUUUCUCUGUUGAUCAGUGAUGUUGAGCACCUUUUCAUCUACCUGUAUGCCAUUUGUAUGUCUUCUUUUGAGAAAUAUCUAUUCAGAUCUUUUGCCCAUUUUUAAUCAGAUUAUUGGAUUUUUUCCUAUUUUUGAUCACCUUAUAUAUUCUUAUUAUUAAUCCCUUCUCAGGUGGACACUUAGCAAAUAUUUUCUCCCAUCCUGUGGGAUGUCUGUUCACUUUGUUGAUUGUUUUCUUUGCUGUGCAGGAACCUUCUAACUUGAUGUGACCCCAUUUGUCCAUUUUUGCAUGGGUUUUCUGCCAUUGUAGGGUAUUACUCUAGAAAUCUUUGCCCAUUCCUAUGUCCUGGAGAGUUUCCCCAAUGUUUUCUUGGAAUAAUUUCAUAGAUUGAGGUCUUAGAUUUAAGUCUUUAAUCCAUUUUGAUUUGAUUUUUGUACAUGGUGAGAAAUAGGGGCCUGGUUUCCUUCUUCUACUAUUUAAAAAAAAACCUCCACAUUGUAGAUAAAAUUUAUAUUUCUUGAAAUAAUUUCUGAUCUUGUGAAUCCUGUUAUUUCUAAUGGAAUAUGUAUUUUUGCAUAAACAUAGAUUUCUCUUCAUAACAAACCUACAAUGGACUGUAUUUAUAUCUCUCCUACCCCCCAUAUUACAUUAUUACUAAAAAGUGUACAUAUUGUAUUACUUAGAAAUUAAAAGAAUAGACAGUCUCAUUGAACUUCAGUGAGCUUAUAGUUUAUAGUUAGGAAUGAUGGAGGUACUUGUGUUUUCUUCUUGAAUGUGGCUAAGCUAAGAUGGGGAAAACGCUGCCUGUUAUUGUAAGACCUUUUCCUUGGCCAUCUGCUUGCCCACAUUCUAAAUGAGUCAGAAAUGGAAGAAAGACAGUAAUUAGGAUGCUGUGUAAUUAAUCCUAAUCUUCUUGCAUAAAGCCGGAAUACAUAAUGCAACGAGGACUCUGAAAACAGCAGUUUUUUCUGAUUUUCCACUUAAUUUCUGAUAUAUUUCAAAAGAAAUCAUUUUCAGUUUAAUAGAGUUCAGUAUGUGCUUUCAUAAAAUGUAAAGGUUUUUAAUGGUACUAAGAAAUUAUUAAGUGCAUAUUGUAAGCCUAGUAUUCCAUCAGGGACUUAUUUAUGUUUGAUUUAUUGGCUUUAUAUUCUUUAUUGGAAAAUCUAGCCCACUUAAAGGAAUUCUUUUAAUGCUGAGUGUUAUAUGUAUAUCUCUUCUGCCUUGCAUGUUUUUCUUCGACCAUUUACUGCACAAGUAUUGAUUUCAGAAUAUCUUUCAGAUUCUUUCUCAGCAAUUUGAGUUUGUGCAUCUGUGCCAAGAAGGGAUUAUAUUUGUUUCCAUGCACAUGCUUUAUGGGACUCUGUUCCUUUUUUCAAUAAUUGUUUUACUAGAGUCAAUAGAAGGCUGGUGAAUAGUUUUUCAUACGGUAAUAGAAUUUUUUGAAGCAGGGAGAAUGUAAUCAUGAAAUUUAAGAAUAAGCAAACAAGGGCCAGAAGAUUUAGGCUGUAUAUUUCCCGUAACCACUCUGAACCUUGAAAUUCGGUAAUAUUUUUUUUGCAUUGAGUGAGGUAGGAGCUGAAAAUAUAAAACAUACAAUAAAAAUAUAGACUGUGGCUCUAGGCAGAAGGCGUGUAAAUAUGCCUGUGUGUAUGUAUGGUAAUAUGCAUUGAAUUAGGAGUCAGAAGACUAGGUUUUGACACUCGCCAGCUGUAGGAAGUUAUUAAACCUCUAUCUGCCUCAGCUUUCUGAUUUGUAUUACCUGCCUUGCCUGUCUCAUUUGUAAGUAUGCAUUGAGAUUAACUAUGUUAAAGGACUGAAACUUUUAGAGUUGUUCAGUUGUGAAAUAGUAAAAGUCUCUGUGGUUAUAGCCAGUUCACUGAUGAUUGUAGUAUUAUUCUAGUGAAACUGAGACCAGGGUCCCACGGUUUUAAAAAAUAUUCUUAUAUGAGUAUGUGUAUGUGUAUAAUUUUUCUUUAUGAUAUGGGGCAGGUAGUGAAAAUUGAAGUAUGCUAUUCCAUACAAAUAGAUGCCCAUGAGGAGGCUCACAUUUAUGAGAAGGGUUGAUGUUGACAAUCCUUUGAAAGAGAAACUCAGUAAGCAUUGUUAAUAUAUUUAACUUCACUGUAGAUACUUUUAGAACAACAGUUUGAAAUUUUAGAACAGAACAGUGAACGACAGAUAUUUGCUUGUGAUUUUCUUAAAUGUUACAAUGAUGGUAAGCUUCUUUCCUCAUAUUUUAUCUACAUUUUCUGGAUAUGUCCUGUGACUGAUUAGUUUUCAUUUACAGGACUGUUAUUAGCCCUAGUGUGUUUUUCUGAUAAUAUAAGAAACACCCCAGGAGGAAGAUUAUAUCUGCUGUUUUACUAGGGAUUGGAAAUGACACUGUUACUCCAGAAAUGCAUUCACUGUUGUUCUUUGAGUCUGGACAUACAAAUUAUAGUUAACUGUUUACCAAACUUGAGAAAAAGAACGAGUGUAUAGCCUCCAAACCACUGUGGUUGUAACCAGUAGAUUCAGGCAAUGUAUAAAAUUCAUACACUCUCAUAACAGUGUUUCUCCUUUAUUGGGUAGACACUAACUUAACGUUCUCAGCAUCUUUAGAAAGUUUACUAAGUAGCUCACAGAACGGGUGUGAGAGGCCAAGUGUGCACAAGUGAUUCAGUGAUUCAGGUGAUUAAAAUUGUGUAUUGUUAAUUAAUUUUUUUCAGGUAGAAAGUUGUUUUAGCAAUGAUUUUUUAAAGAAAUCACUUUUUAGGAAAUUAAUUUAUCAGAAAAAUAGAAUAAUAAUUUUAUUUCAUCUAAAGAGAGUCUGAGGUUUUAGAUGUCAUCAUCUAAUAAUGUUAAAUUUUGAAAAAGAAAAUUCAAGUUAUUAAAAAUCUUCCAAUGACUGCAACACUUCAGUAGUAAUAUUAAUGUUUGAGAAAAAGCCCUACUUCUAGGAAAUUAGAAUCUCCUGGGGCUUUUUAUGACCUAAACUCUCAGUUAUUCUUUGCUGGAAUUCUUACUGACUUCAUGUAUUGUUCAUUUGUCUAUAGCAUGUGGUGCAAUAGCAGUCCCUCAGCAGGUUACAGUUCUCUCUUUGCCAUACAGAAAAUAGUAGUUCUAUUACAUAGAUUAUCGGCACAGUGGUUUUUCCACCAUUAUACCAUGAGUUCUCUGCCAUUUUGCCAAUUUCAAGUUGAUUUUAAUUAAUUUAAUGGUAGGUUGCCUUUUAAUAAUGCUUUUAUAAUAUGACAUAUAAAACUCCACAUGAGCUUGCAACACAUUAGGUUAAAUGACAUAAACCAGGCACAGAAGGAUAAACACUGCCUGUUCUCACUCAUAUGGGAAAGCUUAAAAGUUGAUCUCAUAGAAAUAGAGAGUAGAAUAGUGGUUACUUGAGGAGGGGAAGGAAAGGGGAAGAAGGAGAUAGCCAAAGGCUGGUUAAUGGAUUUAAAUGUACAGCUAGAUAGGAGGAAUAAGUUCUAGUGUUCCCUAGCACGAUAGGGUGACUAUAAUUAGCAGCAAUGUAUUAUAUAUUUUAAAAUAGCUAGAAAAGCAGAUUUUGAAUGUUCUCAACACAAAGAAAUGGUAAAUGUUUGAGGUGAUAGAUAGCUGAAUACCCUGUUUGAUCAUUACACGUUGUAUACAUGUAUGAAAAUGUAACAUUGUACUCCAUGAAUGUAUAUAAUUAUUAUGUAUCAAUUAAAAUAAUAAUAAAAGCAAAGAAGAAAUCA